This 64323-nucleotide long non-coding RNA is filed under the name Prunus persica (peach). RNAcentral's name for it is "long non-coding RNA (PPER_LNC003733)". Lineage: Eukaryota; Viridiplantae; Streptophyta; Magnoliopsida; Rosales; Rosaceae. The record is from RNAcentral.
UCUUCGUUGUUUAGCUUUAAGUCCUCUUUUUUUUUUUUUUUUUUGGUUAUUUAGCUUUAAGCCCUCCAUUUCUGGGUUAUAGUACAGACCCCAUUUACGGCCUAAGAAUAAUAAAUUUCUGAGUUGUAGGGAGUUUUUACUAAGUUUUCCUUUUCUUACACUAAAAAUGGAAUAUUUACAAAUGGCCAAAGAACAAAAACAAAACAAAAAAGCAAAAACUAGAAGGAAGCAUUACACACAAGUCAUGGUUCCAGAUACAUGAUUGGAAAAGCAGUAGAUACAUGAUUGGAAAAGCGGUAGGAGCAAGCAACACAAUGACGAACAUCAACUUCCACACUACAAAAGUUGUUUCUAUUUGUUGCUAAUGCUAAUUUGAUAUCACCAACAUGAAUCAUUUCUUCAACCCUUCGACUGAGAAGCAAUUCCUGUUUGAUUGUGUGAGGUUUCCCAAUUUUUCCCAUCAUAAUACUUAACCUCAAUAUGGGUUAGUGUUCCAGGAUCAACACACGUAAAUGUGAUGGAAACGCCAUCAGGGUUGGAGCGUGGAUAAUAAAAUGAAGUUAUCCCACAAACCUUACAAAACUUAUGCUUCGCCGUAUGAGUACCGAAGCUGUAAGUAGUAAGAAACUGUUCAGAAUCACCCAAAAGCUCAAAUCUGUCAGCAGGGACAAUAAAAUGAGUGUUGCCCCUCAUAGAGCAAUUCGAGCAGUUGCAACUCCAAGCCACAACUCCGGUAGGCGCUUGCACUCGCCAUCUUACUUUCUUGCAAUGGCACCCACCUUCAUGCGCUACCAUCUCAGAGUCCAUGCCUCAAGAUUCUAAUUCUUCAACAGGGCCAAUGACUAGGAUUACCUCUUCUAAUUUAUAAAUGCACCCGCUCUGACCUGUCAAGAAACAGAACAUCAGAAAAUUUUGUUGUAAAAUGGAACCCACAUCUGCAAUUGCAAUUUCCAGUUCAUUCAAGUUGAUCUUAUUCUAGUUUCCUCCUGUUCAAUUUCUUCCUUUCUCCUUUUCCAUUCUGAAUAAGAAGACAGUUGAUAUUUCAAAGAUAAAAGCAAUAAUUAGAUAGAUUUUAAAGGGUUAACAACAACAUGAUGGCGCACCUUUCUAGCACACACCCUUGAUUUUUAAAGACCAUUUCUAUACUGUACUUGAUUAUAUGAUCACCUGAGUUCCUCACCCAAACAUCCUCCUUGGCCAGAACUCACUUAUCAAGCCCACCUUCUACAUCACUAAGCCAUAGCUGAUCAGCCACUUGCACUACUUCUCAUCCAAUGGCAAAAUGCUUUGUCACUGAACUCCUUAAACGGAUCAGACAACUAACAUACUAAUCCAGAGAUUAAAAAUUCACAGUUGGAUGAUUCAAUGGUUCAUGAACCAUGUGAUUACAUCCAACCUACCAACCUAUCACACUUGGAUGGACCAUGGCCAACUAGUUCUUGGAAUGCACCCAACCAAACACACGAAACUUAAAGAGGAGAGAAAUAGAAGAGAAAGAAUGAGGAAGGAACAGAGGUGGAAGACGAAAAGGAAGAUUAUGGUUAACUCAAAAAUCCAGUCUACCUUCAACACAAAAUGCUAAGUUACUACUAAGAUCUGGAUAAGGAGGCCCCAAACAAACUUCGAUUAGGAAAUGAAAUUAAAAAAACACACAUCAAAUUAAAGAUUAACUCCAUCAAUUCUCUUUCAUGGAGGCCUAGAGUGUCAAAAUGUGGCUCACACAAGAAAUAAAUAUCUUCUUAGAAUGCUUUCCAAGAAUUGGCUUUUCCUAAUGACUGAUCCUGAUAUCAAAAAAGUCAAAUGGAGGGAAGGGCAUAAAGAACACCCGUUUCUCCUUAAAGCUAAGACCAUCAAACAAGAAUUGUAUAAAACUACUGAGGAUAAUCAUAGAACUAGAGCUUGACUUGUACUGGGAGGGAUUAAAUUCACAAGAAAAGGAACAUGCUUUUACCACAAAUAUAGCUCCCAACUUCCCCAAACUGUCUUAACAUGCCCAACCUUUUAUUUGGGUAAAUUAAUAUGACGCUAGGUUUAUAGAAGGAGAAUCUGCAGAGGGCAGUGGAGAAGACAAUAUUCUACUUGUUUUAUUUUAUUUUAAAUUGUAUUGUGUAUAGAGGAAAUAUAAACUAGAACAUCCAAACUGAAAUCGGUGCUUAGAUACACUUCUCAAAAAAAAUCAAUUAUACAACCGAGAGAGAGAGAGAGAGAGAGAGAGAUGACAGAUUUUCAAUGCAACAGGUUGUGAAGCAGAAAAUGAUAAAGGAAACCCAGAAAUUACCUUACGGGACCAAAGGGAGAGUCAGUUUCAGCCUUCAGCUUUGUUAACUAAAUGACGACAGACACAGACAGCCAAGGUGCUGGUGUUUAUGAUGGUGUGCAUUAGUGUAAUGGUUAACAAGAAACGUCGUCGUUAUGAAGUUUUUUUUUCUCUAAAAAUGUCUCAAAUCAGUGAGUGUUGUAAAUAAUUAGGUGUGGAGCCCACAUGUUCCUUAGGUUUUGCCUACAAAAGGGUUCAUCCCUUCAUUGUAAUUGAGAAACACAGAAAUAUGAAUACAGAAGAGGAACCAAUCCAAGUUUUCCUCUGAUUCUAAAUUCUCUCCAAUUCCUCUUAAUUUAUAACACGUUAUCAGCACGAAUUCGCUCAAACAAUAUCAGCUGAAUUAUCUGAUGAAAUCCAGAUCUCUCAUUCCAUCUCCCUCUCUCUCUGCGCCAAUCAGAGUCAACAAAUUUAAUUUCAAACACCCAAACCAGACUUUUACAACUCUAAGUUUCUGAGCUCUGCUGCUACUGCUUGGAGCAUCAGAGAUUUUUGCAAGGCCAGAAAUGACAAAGGGUUUACCAACGGCCUCGGCAUGCCCAUGGUAGCCAAAUCAGACCUCUCCCAACUAGCCCUUUCUUGCUUGGCACUCUCCAAACUCUCUCCACAGCGCCAAAGCCAUGGGUGUGAAGCCCAGGCAAGAAGACCCUCCACCAUCCUCUGCCAGUGUAGAAACAGUAGAAGAAAUAAUGAAACUCUACAAGUCCCCGCCGCCACCGCUUCCUCCUCGGCAUGACAGGCAGAAAAGUACUCCCCGACGGAAGCGGCGACACCAAGAACCUCAAGCUACUACACCUUUUCCGAUGACCUCCGGGGGCCGUAAUUACUGAAACAAUGGCUGCUAGCAUCGCACAGAUGAUCAACUCCAAAACCUCCUCCGUAGCAUCGCACAGAGAAAAAUCAUAUUUACGAAUUUGGAUCGGAAACACGUGGUGAAGGCGUUGGAUCGUCUGGGAGUGAGAGACUGCUUUGAGCAGAUCAUAUGCUUCGAGACGAUGAACCCGAACCUGCCGAGUUCGACUCGGCCUAACGAGUUUCCGGAGGAGCUGGCCAUCUUUGGCGAGUUCCCACAACUGGUGUGUGCUUGAACAUCAAUCCUAUAUCAGAAUCUAGUGCAUGCCAAUGGUGGGCCGCCGCCAUGGAGGAACGCCGUCACUCACGACGACCCUACCACGUCCUCCAGCCAGAACUGGAUUCUGUAGGACGUCAUCGAGGCCGAGGUCCACCAUUGAUCCACGAUCGGAUCCGUUCAAGAUCUCACCGAAUUCGGAUACAAUACAAAGCCGAAAGAGAAAGAAAGAGCUCUCUCUUUCUCUCUCUCUCUCUCUCUCUCUCUUUCUCUCUCUCUCUCUCUGUCUGCAGGUUUGAAAAGUGAGGGGAAAAGAGAGAGGUGGAAUCUGAGAAAGCGGGCACGCGUGCUGCUUUUGUUUUGUCGUUUUGUAGUGAUGGAAAGUUUGGGGCUUUGAGUUUUUGAGUUGGCUAGCUGGGUACUUUCCUUCCUUUGGUGAAUUAGACGGGUGAGCUUUGGUUGAAGGGUCCCACCAUCAUGAAAGUGAAAGAAGAACAAAAACAAAGGUCCUCUGCUUCCUUAUCUUUCAAUUACUUUAGUAUUAUCCUAUACUAUUUAACUUGCUCUACAGGUGGAAAGGCAGUAGCAAGCUUGAUAUCCAUCUUUUUUUUUUUUGCACAUUUUAUACUAUAUAACUAAUAUAUCAGUAUAACAAUAUUACACUAUUUGAUCGUGGUGUUGAUAAGAACCCACAAAUAAUUGCCUUUACUUUUAUUUAAAUGUAUGGAGCAGAAUUAGUGCCCAUACAUUUAUUAUAUUUACUGUAUGGUGUAGGUUUAUUACCCAUACAGCAGUAUUUAUUUAAAAGGGUGGUGCGGAUUUAUCGUCCACGCCUUUACUUUUAUUUAAAUGUAUGGAGCAGAAUUAGUGCCCAUACAAGCACCUUUACUUUAUCGCAAAUUUACUUUUACUUAAAGUAUGAUGUGAAAUUAACCCUCAUACUUUAUGAAUUUACUUUACCGCACAUUUAAUUUUAUUUAAGAUAUGGUGCGGAAUUAACUUCCAUAUAGCAAGUAAUUUAUUUUAUCUCACAUUUACUUUUACUUAAAGUAUGAUGAGGAAUUAACCCUCAUACUUUAUGAAUUUACUUUACCGCACAUUUACUUUUACUUAAAGUAUGAUGAGGAAUUAACCCUCAUACUUUAUGAAUUUACUUUACCGCACAUUUACAUUUAUUUAAAGUAUGGUGCGGGUUUAUCGUCCAUACCAGUAAUUUAUUUAUCAGCAAUUUAUUUUAUGGAUUAAUUGUGCUGUAUGAUGAGUUUUUACAGUAUACAGAUUAGGACCAGAAGUUCCUUGAUCCUCAUCAUACAAUUACAUCAGGACUUGAAGAUCCUUGAUGAUGAUGUUAAUAUAAGAGCUGGCAGUCUCUCCGGUACUAUAUUUGUAAACAUAUGAUUGGACUUGAGGGUCCUUGAUCCCUGACAUGUAAAUAAGGACCUGGGGUUCCUUAAUGAUGUAACAGUACUGUAUUGUUUCAUAAUGCCGUACACAUGGAUGAUAACUGUACUGGCAAAUGUACUGUCCACAUGAAUAGAUACGUAUUCAUGACUUGAUGAAUAGUACCGGAUAUAUGAAUAGUGACGUAUACAUAAAUAUUAACCAUUUUGGGUAAACCAUCACUAUAUUCAAAAAGGGAACCUGCAGUCCCUUAAACUCAUGAAUGAGCAAUUAAAUGAGAUGCCAGAAGUUCCUCAAGAUAUGGACAAUUAUGUAAGGACUUGAAGUCCAGAAACAUGUACAGAAAAUUGUAAAAAUGUCCAUACCAUGAGAAUAUGUGAUUUUGGCUUGAGGUUCAAAAUCUAACAGUGUUGAGAACCUGAAGUUCCAACAAUUAAAUGGACAACUCUUGAGGUAUUAUUGCAAAUAGUGGUACGCCACAUAUUUCUUUGGCAUAAGAAAAUGAUGAAUUUAAUAAAAUUCGAUUCUGUUAUAAUCGACACCUCAAGUAAGAAAUAUAUUUUGUGAAUUCCGGUUGUUAAGAAUACACCGUGAAAUGGAUAAUAUCAAUAUAAAUCUCAAAUGAUGAAUUGAGGCUCCCCACAUAUUUUGAUAUAUCUGGGGCGGAAGCACAUGGAUUCAAAUAUAUGAGAAAUCCCGAAUUUGAGAUUGUGGGUAUAUAGUAGUUAAUGCUCUUCACUACUAUAUUGCGAUAUUAUCGUAGCUUUUACUCAAUUCAUAUUUCAUGUCCAUUUGAAAAGGGUGAAUAAAUUCUGAUAUUUGUGUUUAGCUCAGGCCAAAAGUUCCAUACGUUGAAAUAUGAAAUUUGGGAGAGUCGAUGUGGUUAUUUGAACCUAUAAGGCACAAGGUUCCAAACCGUCAUUUUGAAAAGACGUAAAAACCACAGGUGCAAGUUUAAGAAUAUGCGCAAUUAUUAUAACAGGAACAUACAACAGAUAGAUUUUUUCCACCUGCAAUGAAGGUGCAGGCCCUGUAAAAUCUAUAAAAUUACAUUAUGUUCUGGAAGCCUCUGAAGGAAGAGGACGACGCCUCUUAAGCUUAGCCACGAGCCUCUCGUGGUCUCCCAAAAUUCUUUCAUUGGAGACCUGCAGCAUGUCUAGCCUUCUCAGUGUAUCAACAGAAUACGAACUCACCAGUUUCAACAAGGCAUUAUUCUCUUCUUUAAGUUUCUCAACCUCCUGUUGAGACUCAUGAAGCAUUCUUUGGAGAGACGAAUUUUCAGUUGUUAAAAUCUGAACCUCGUUUGCUCUAGCACGCAAACGAUCAGCCAUGUUAGAAACAGAAGCAGCACUCUGAAUGCUAAAAGCCAUUGAGUCAUCAAUAGCCUAUUCCUCUGAUCUCCCUGUUAACAGCAUUUCAUCCAUUGGAGUAAUGAAAUUCCUAGCUACUAUGACAGCAGUAGCAUCAUUCAUCAUCAUAGAAUCAUUAACUGUGAGAUGACGAUUUUUGGAUACAAAGGAUGGACGCCAGACUUUUGCAUCACUGGCUGUUGUGGGAGUAUCAUUUAAAUUGAAAUAAUUUAGGCAUGAAGAAGAGGAAGCCAUUUUAAGAAGGUUUCGAAGAAAGUCUUAAGAAAACUAAAGUUUCAGAAAAUGAAGGAAGUUGAGUUGAAACGCAGUUGCUCCAAUCAAGUUUUGCAAAGGCAAUAUCUAUAGGAGGAAAUAUGGCUACAGUUUUUUCAGGAUCCCAACUUUUCGGAUCCCCAUAUUCUCUUUUUCUUUCCCAGAUUCCAAAACUUCACGUGGCCUCCAUUAAUGUUUGUCGGCACUUUCGGCGUUUUCAAAAUAUUAUUUUCGUCAAAAGCCGAUCUUGCUUUACGGAUUUCACGGAGCUAUUUUUUCAAAAGUACCCCGAGAAUCUCGCAAUUUUCCUAUGGUUAAUUUGAAAUUCACCGGUUCUACCUAUUCCUCUUAUUUGUGUAUAAAUGUGUUACUAACGAAAUUUUCUUUGCAGAAGACAUCCAGUUUUCUCCACACCUAGUGAUGCGAUAUCUAUUUGUUUUUCUUAUCAGUGAGCACUUAAUAUGCCCGAGAAGCAAGACUAUCUCUGAUCAUCCAUUCAGGAAGCGAUCCUGAUCACGUUUCCGCCACAUCAGGGAACUGUGAAGGCAACCUUAUGCUCUAAUCUCCGGAAGUUCUUCUAAACUAGAAGAAAUGAGAGCUGGUUGUUUGCUCCCACCAGCUUCCUUCCUUGAUUGCUGAGCUUGUUGUCUGCUCCCACCAGCUUCCUUCCUUGAUUGCUUACCUUCUCUUGCAAUCAAUAUCACAUUAUUUUUGCAUUUUUUCUCUUUUUAUAACUCUCUGUUCAUAAGAGAUUUUAUUUCUUUAGAAUGAACAUCUGAAGAAAGAAUCUAUGGAGUGAUCCUAACUCUGAGGGUUAUUUGUUUUUGACAUAGAAAAGAGUUGUGAUUUUGCUCUUGCAGGAUAUAACUAGAUCAGCAAGCGCUACAUUAUAUUUACUGGGCCGAUACGAGCUUGAAUGAUACUUGAGAAAAGUUUCUCCCACCUAAGGAUGUAAGCAAUACUUGUGUUAUUUUAUGCUUAUAUACUUAUUUGAUAUUUUAUCUUGAAAGGUAACCAAAUAUGGAGAUAAGUCUGUUCCAAAAGAAUGGCUUGUAUGUAUCCACGAAUUUUUAAUGCAAAUUUUACAGAUUGCAAGUUGGAUACAUUGAUAAUACACUGCACAGAUUAAAGUCUCAUAAGAACAGAAUAUGGGUAUAGCAGUGAUCAAUAUGAUGCACGCCUGUUGCGUAGCAAAUGAUGUGGAUUGAAGUCCCGAAAGGACAAUCCUUUGACAUGUCAAUAUUGAUAUUAUGCACGCCUAAUGCGUAGCAAAUUAUAUGGGUUAAAGUCCCAUAAUAUGGGUUAAGGUCCCAGAAAUUAAUUGACAUGUAUGUAUUAAUCUGUGGCAUGCCUUCAGCAUGACAAAUAUAUGGGUUCUAAAUGUUCCAACUCCCUAAAUGGAGAUUAUCCACGCCCUACUGCUAAAUAACGCUCCAAUGGAGGUUAUAAUCCACAUUCUCACAUAAUAAAAGCCCCAUGAAGUGGCUUGGGUACCCAAAAGCAAAGAAAUGCUUAUAAUUGAUGCAUGUGCAUGCACAUGAGAAUGGUGGGAUCAUGAAUUGAUGAAUGACAAUUUUUGAUCAUGAAUUGAUGAAUGACAAUUUUUGAUUUUGGAGUAGCUACUCAAAUCAUCAAUGGGCUGUGUUGAUUGGAACCACGUUCAAUUAUUAAAUGUCGACAAUAUUAUUGGCCAAAAUGGAAUGAGGUAAUUCCAUUAUAGAUGAGAAUGAACGUGAAAGAACAAACCCACAGUACGAACCCCAAAAGAUGUUAAUACUGAAAUUUAUACUUGGGUGUUCGGAAUAAAAGGGAAUAUACCUACUUUGUAUGACACACUGUUUCUGGCAGAAACAAGGAAUGUUGGGUUUUCUCCAUAUUUACAGAUUCAAUUGUGCCCCCCCUUAUUACACAAUUACGGAGACCAACAUAUUAUCUUUAAGGGUUAUUAAAUGCACGGAGCAUAUCGCCAGAAGCGAUUUCCUAAAGAUAUAUAAAUAGCUGGGUAAAAGCUAUAUAAUGUGUCAUAAAGUUUAAUCCCCUUUAGACAAAAUCCGUUUGAGAGGAUUGACAUUGCAUAAAGCAAGUCCCUAAAGGACAUGUGCUUGAAGCACAAAAUUUGUACUCAAUAUUAAUAUGCAUAAUUUACCUCAGUGAGUACAUUGAUUAUAAUGUGAUUGCAACACAUUAAAGCUUCUGCAGAAUUCAUGAAAUAUUUGCCUUGAUCGAGCAUUAUGCCAACGAGAUUCUUGCUUAUACUAAGAGAGUCUAUCCGUUGGUCCUUAAAUAUUUUUCCGGAAGUAUACUAAACCAGAUAGAGCUCAGCUCCAUCACCACCACUUUAGGAUGGCUAGUCAUAAAUUUUUCAGGGGGAGCUUAGUUUUAAUAAAGACCUUCAUACACUGUACUCUUUUUCCUUUAUCCAGGUUUUUAUCCCACUGGAUUUUUCCUGGUAAGGUUUUAACGAGGCAGUGUCGCUCAAGAUUGACUCACAGAAGCAGUGUCAACUACGAUAUUCAGAAAGUUGAUCAACAGUAUGACUUAAAGAUAUUUUGCCGAGCAUCAGGGGGAGCGUGCUAUCAAUAAAGAUCUUCAAACACUGUACUCUUUUUCCUUCGUCCAGGUUUUUAUCCCACUGGGUUUUUCCUGGCAAGGUUUUAACGAGGCAGUGUCACACGCGCGUCAAUAUACAUAGAAUUUUAUGUUACACAUGAUUAUGUACUCUUUUUCCCUUUGACCAGUUUUUGUCCCACUGGGUUUUUACUGGCAAGGUUUUUAACGAGACAUAUUCCAUAUCAUUUGUGGUCUCCAAGGGGGAGUGUUGUAAAUAAUUAGGUGUGGAGCCCACAUGUUCCUUAGGUUUUGCCUACAAAAGGGUUCAUCCCUUCAUUGUAAUUGAGAAACACAGAAAUAUGAAUACAGAAGAGGAACCAAUCCAAGUUUUCCUCUGAUUCUAAAUUCUCUCCAAUUCCUCUUAAUUUAUAACAGUGAGCUUGUAGAUGUUGACUAUUUAGGUUUCCCAUCUGAUGCCGCUGUUCAUGGAAACCAAAUCAGCAAACUAUCAUAAAUAAGCCAAAAUUUACCCCGAAUUCAUAAAUAUCAAUUUUUAUAAAAACUUUCAAAUAUAACAAAAUUCUCACUUAAAUUGAUUAUCUGUACAAACUUUUUGUUGGUCCGAAUUUUCUUUACAAAUAAGAAUAUAUAAUGGGCAAGGAAAAAGCUUAGAAUGAUGAAGCUGGGGAGUUGCAUCUGGUGAUUAUAGUGACUAUUUAACAACAGAACCAGACAAAAUCUGAAGUAUUAUAAUAAUAAGAAAACAAUCGGCCAAAUUAAUUAGCUCUAGUAUUUUGUAUAUGAAGGAAAAUUUUGAGUAGCAGAAGUGUGACAGGCAUUUUUUUUUUUUUUUUUUUGGCAGACAAAGUGUGGUAGGCUAUAUGAGAAAGUUUAAAGCUUAUGUUUGAUUUGCUUGCCUAUAUGCUGGUUACUGCAGAAAGAGUAUAGCUGUUAUCAUGUAUAUUUCAAUUCCUAAGUCAAAUCAUGUUAAAGAAACGAAGGAGGAAAGACACAGAAAAAGACGAACUGGUUUUUUUUUAUAGGUUUUUAUCUGGGUUUUAAAUUUAAGGGCAUUUAAGUAUUUUUAAUUGCAUUUUUUGCUAUAUUUGAAAUUUUUAUAUAAAAAAUUGACAUUUAUGAAUUUAAUGGGUAAAUUUUGGCUAUUUAUGAUAAAAAUUCAUUGUAAUUUUAAGAUUGUGUUCUCGAAGACUAAGGUAUCAAUAAAAUUUAGACAUUGUCAAAUGAAACCCAAUCCAACUUAAUGGGCACGGGUUUGGUUGGGUUGGUUUUAGGCCAAAUUUGUAACCCAAUCCUCGAGUACUGUAGCAUUUCCCAAAUAUGGUCUAAUACCUUUUUUUUGCUGGUGCCUAAGUUAGGGAGAGGAGGGGUGAAACCCACACACACACACACACACACACACACACACACACACACACACACACACAAACAGUCAUCCAACUAACACCCCAUUAAUGAGAUGGUCUGUUGUGCCCAAGUUUUUCUCCUUUGGCCCAUGGGAGGAGAUGAGAUUAGAAGGCCCAUUGAAUCAAAUUUUGGGCCUAAAAGACAAAAGUGACCAUACCCAAAAGCAAAACCAAAGGGCAAGGCUUACAAACCCAAGCCAUGACUCAAAAACCUCGGCUCGAGUAACAAGGCUUGGCCCAAAUCAUGAAUUCGCCCUAAAGUUUUAGCCCAAUAGACAAAGUUGAAGCUAAAUCGGUCAAAACUUGAUGGUAAACUAGCAAGCACCGAUUGAUAUGAGUCUUCACGUGCACUACCUCAAUAUAUGGACGUUAAAACAUAAGGCAAAAAGAAUGAUAGGAUGUCGAACAACUUCUCGUAACUUGACAAGAAGAAUUAGUUAGGAAAAGGAACUUUGGGACUUGUGAUCGAGGCGAGAAUCAGAAGUAGGAAGGUGGUUCACCCAAAGGAUUGGGCGGUGGUCGAGAGUCUUGUCACCUUUUUAAAGGCAUCAACUUUGUCUAUAAAUAGCAAGACAUUCCGAUUAUUAAGCAUCAUCAAUCUUUCAACAAAAAUCAAGCGGAAAUGCUUCUCAAUGCACUUCUUAAUCAAGUAUUUUUUUACCGCUUGUGUCAGAGUUCUUCAGCACCACUAUUGUAACCAUUCAUUCAAUAUAUCAACAAGUAACUAUGUUUUUCACGGAGUCCGUUUGAGCACCAUACAAUCCAUUUUUCCUCAUAACUCUUUUGAUUCAUUGUGUUUCAAAGGGACUUGAGAGAUCUCUUAGUAGCUGAGCACCAAGCACCAAAUGGCAAAUACUUGCCGUAAAUCUAGUAGUCUUGUUCCCAAGACUAAGAACCCAACAACUGAGAAAAUGUUCCUAACUCGGCCUAAUUUAGGGGUGGGCAUCGAGACCGGAAAACCGGAACACCGAACCGAACUAGUGAAAAAAAAUAAAAAUAAAAAUCGGUUGACCAAAAAAGUCAACAAACCGGACCGAACUGAUUCCAACUGGUUUCGAUUCCAGUUUUACAUCCCACCGCACCAGACCAGACCAAACCGGACCGGUCAUAUAUAUAUAUAUAUUUUUACAAAAUUUUAAAAUAUAAUGCCAUAUUUUAAAUUUUAUAAUCACUAUUUUUCCAAGUUCAACUUCAAAAAAUUUAUAAAUGUAUGAAUUGGAUUAUUUGUUAAUUUUUAACCCAAAAAAUAAGUUAUUUAUUAUUUUUUUUAUAAAAAUAAUUUUUUUUGAAAAAAAUUUAAAAAUUAAUAAUCCGGUUCAAAACCAGAACCGAACCGGUCGGUUUUUGAAAUUUUUUUGUCUAAACCGAAUCGAACCAGACUGGUUAAAUAGUACCGAUUCUCGUUCCGAUUUGAGGUGAGAAUUGAAACGAACCAGACUGCGCCCACCCUUAGCCUAAUCGUUUGACAAAGUCAAGACCAAGACGCUCAUCAUUUUCUUUGUAUUCAGGACCAUCAUAGGCACUGAAAACUGACAUGUGCCGCACAGAAUACCCACCAGAAAGGUCAACAGGUCUAAUACCUGAGAACAUUAAGGGGUCGUCUGGUACAUAGACUUGGCUUGGACUGGCUUAGACUAAAUUUAGUACCAUGUUUGUUUCAUUUAAUUCUAGUCUUAGAUGAGAUUGCUAAUACCGGGCCCACCAAAAAUACCUCCUUAGGAGGGGACUACUAAUCCCAUGUAGAAAGGGAGGAUUAAGCUAGUCCUAUGUUUACCAAUGUAUGAGAUGCAUAUAUUAUAUUGUAAUACUAAUAACAUAUACUACUAUUAUUAUUAUUAUUAUUACAUACAUAUAUACUAUAAUGUACAUAUAUACAUGUAUAUACACAUAUAUACAUAUAUAAUAUAUAUAUAUAAAUACAUAUAGAUAUAUACACAUAUAUUAUUAUUAUAAUAUACUCAUAUACACAUACAUAUUAAUAUUAUAAUAAUAGCAUACAUGUAUACAUGUAUAUAUGUAAUAUAUAUUAUAUUAUAUUAAUAUUAUAAUAAUAGCAUACAUGUAUAUAUGUAAUAUAUAUUAUUAUAAUACAUAUAUAUAAGUAUAUAUACAUAUAUGUGUAUACAUUAUACCCAUGUAUGUAUUAUUAUAAUACACAUAUGUAUAUGUAUAUGUAUUAUACCCAUGUAUAUAUUAUAAUAUAUAGAUACACCUAUAUACACAUAUAUUAUAUACAUGUAUAUAUGUAUAUAUAUAUAUGUAUAUUAUAAUAUAUAAUGUAUAUACAUAUAUUAUAUAUACAUAUGUAUUUUAUAAUAUAUAUAAUAUAUAUGUAUAUACAUGUAUAUUAUUAUUAUUAUUAUAACAUACCCAUAUAUAUCUAUAUAUAUAAAGCAAAAGGCAGAGAAUGGUGAAACAUUCAAAAUACCAGAAAAUGCCCUUGGUUAAUGCAAACAUUAAGAAUUCAAAUUAUUAAUUAAAUGAGGAUAAUAUGGUAAAUUCACACUUUUUCAUAUUUAAAAAAAUUAAAAGAAAAAAAAAAGGCAGAUAAUGGAUCCUAUUUUUAUGGAACACAACUACCCAUUAUCUUUUUAAAAAAAAAAAAAAUCAUUAUCUUUUUUAAUUCUAAAAUAAAUUUACUUAUUUUUUUGAAAAAACCUCUCGCAAGCGCGGAAGCGCGUGCAGAGAGGCUAGUAUAUAUUAUAUAUUAUAAUAUACAUACAUAUAUAUAAAUAUAUGUAUAUGUAUUAUACCCAUGUAUAUUAUAAUAUACAUAUAUACACCUAUAUACACUUAUAUAUAUGUAUGUACGUUUAUAUUAUUUAAAAUAUAUAAUAUUAUUAUAAUAUACAUAUAUACAUGUAUAUACAUAUAUAUUAUAUAUAUUAUAAAAUACAUAUAUACAUAUAUAUAGAUAUUUUUGAAAAAAUAAAAAAAAUUAUAGUCCUAGUCCAAGCAUACACCAAACGCAGGAUAAGUGUUAUCCAACUUAGACUAAGUCAAGUCAAGCCAAGUCAGUCCCUAAGCAUAGUCCAUGUCAAGACAGUCCUGUGUACCAAACGAACCCUAACAUUGCUACAAUUUACCUAAAAUUCAUAAGCUAAUACCCAAGAACAUGGCUAUAAUUUAGGCCCAAAAGUAAUAAUAAUUAUAAAAAGAAAUUAAAAAAAUCAAAUCUUUUACGGCCUGAUUUCUGUUUCCUAACCCGCUCCACUUACUAUAUAAAAUUUUCAUCGCCGACCGCUUCAUAUUUUUUUCUUCACUUUCUUCUCAACCUCUCUCUGGCUGUCUCCUCUUCUCACCUUUUCGACUUGUUCCCUUAUCUGCUUCUUCUUCUCUAUUCCAUCUCUUUCGCUCCCUCCUCAGCGAUCAAGGCCGCCGCUGUACUGCUCCAGGUUUAUAUUUCUCUUCUCUCUCUUAGAACUUUGUAACUAAGAAAAUAGAAAGCAUCUAAGUUCACCUCAGCCCACUUUGAAAUCCCGGUUCCGCCACCGGUUUAAAAGCAGCCAUUUUCAACAAAUUAUUAGUGCUUCAUCAGCUUGGGAAAACAUUUCCUUUUCGAAUUCUCUCUGUACCCAUAUAAACAAAUUAAGUGUUGAGCAUACGGAAAACAUUUACUAUGAAGAUCACUACUUUUCAAUACAAUUUUUAUAUCUUAUGACAAACUUGGAACUCCUUAUACAAUUUUUAUGUAUUCAUAUCAUGUGUAUGUUAUACUCGUGCUUACCGCUCAGAGUUUUCUGUGGAAUGUGUAGGAAGCUUGUGAGGCAUUAUAGUAUUUGGAAGCAAAGAUGCAGGCUUGUGGUGGAGCUGCAGUGAUGGGUUCUCUUCAACAGCCCACUUGGACCAAAGGAACAAUUUUUCCAAACAAGGGGCUUUUCGGUACUGGAUUUUCACAUAAACUAAAGCUCACUUGUGUGAAGCCCGUUAGAUCUUCUUCUUCUUACAUUGAAGGAAGCUUGGUUGCUGGAAGGCCAUCCUCUUCUAUCUCGGUGACUUUGCCUGAAAUUGGUGGUAAUUAUACUCCAACCCUUGAACCAAUAUCAAUUACUUUUAUUUGUUUAUGUUUCCAUUUAUGAUUCAUAUUGAAAAUGUAACUUAAGUUUUUUUUUUUCUGUGAUUUUCUUGGGUAGGAAUACUUUCGAGUAUUGCAAAGGUUAUGGUGUUAUAAUCCUUUUUUUAAUUUCUAUUUCACUUACUUAAAAAAAAUUCCUUUAACUCUGCUUCUACUAGAAUGAUAUCCCAUUAUCAUGCUUGGAUUUGAUGCUCUGCGUAUUCAUCUUUGGAGGUUUUGUAAUCACUACUCAGUAUAACUUCAUAGUUUGAUAACUCAAUUCUUUUUUCAGAAUCAUCCUUAUGAAAAAACAGCUUUAAAAGAAAACAUAUAGUCAGCCUCGAUAUUUCCAACUUCUAAUGAAGUGUGAAAGCAACAUUGGUUAGUGGCAGGAAUUAUGUCUGACUUGUUCAGGAAUUGUACUAUUUGAUUUACAGGUAAUGGAAGCAGUUUUGUAGACAAUGGGUUAAGUGAGGCUGACCCUGAGGUGCGUGCUAUUAUUGAAAUGGAGAAGGAGCGACAGUUCAAGAGCCUUGAGCUUAUUGCCUCGGAGAAUUUUACUUAUCGGGCAGUUAUGGAGGCAGUUGGCUCAUGCCUCACGAACAAGUAUUCGGAAGGAUUACCAGGUAAAAGGUAUAGAUACUCAGACUUAGAGUAAUGUGAGUUCAAUAGGUUCCUUUCAUUAAAAUAAUUAUGCUUGGUGUAGCUCACUGUUUGAUUAUACAUUUCAGGUACUAUGGUGGCAAUGAGCACAUUGAUGAGCUUGAAACACUUUGCCAAAAAAGGGCUCUAGAUGCAUUUCACUUAGAUGGAAAGAAGUGGGGUGUUAAUGUUCAACCAUUAUCUGGUUCUCCUGCUAAUUUCGAGGUUUAUACCGCAGUUCUUAAACCUCAUGACCGUCUCAUGGUAAGUUGUCCUCUUAGCUUUGUAUUACUCUUACUUAUUGGUAGCUACUAACAUGUGCCUGUAACUUAGGGUUUGGACUUGUCUCACGGAGGACAUUUGUCUCAUGGUUUCAUGACUCCUAAAAGACGUGUAUCAGGCACAUCCAUUUAUUUUGAGUCCAUGUCUUAUCGACUCAAUGAAUCCACAGGUGCUGCAUUUUGGUUAUGGAUAAGAAAGAUGUUGUCUGAAGCUUUACUAAGGAUGUAAUGGUUAUUCUUUUGGGAUGAUGUUGAUUUUUUUUUCCUUAAAAAAACAAAAACUAUAUCUAGGUCUGGUUGAUUAUGACAAGCUUGAGGAAAUGGCUGACCGAUUUAAACCAAAACUCAUCAUUGCCGGGGCUAGUGCUUAUCCUCGAGAUUUUGACUAUCCUCGCAUGAGGAAGGUUAGUAUUUUAAGUCUUAAUUUCCAUAUGCAUAAUAAUAUGGAAUUCAUUAGCAUUUAUAAACACUGUUUUUCUUUGGCAACUGAUGAAUUACAUUGAAUUUGCAUGGGAAGAUUGCGGAUGCUGUUGGUGCUUUUCUUAUGAUGGAUAUGGCUCACAUAAGUGGGCUUGUAGCUGCUUCUGUGCUUGCAAAUCCUUUUGACUACUGCGAUAUUGUGACCACUACAACACACAAGGUAUUGUUCAACCUCGUGUACUUAUAUUUCACUAAAUUUUUUAAAAUCCCAAAUGUUCACAUAAAUGCGUAUACUUCAUAAAUAGCCUUAUCAUGUGCUUCCUUUGUUGUAUUCCAUAUUUGGAUGAUCAGACAAAUUUAAUACAUUUCUCUUCAGUCUUUGAGAGGUCCAAGAGGUGGAAUGAUCUUCUUCAAGAAAGAUCCAGUUCUUGGGGUUGAUCUAGAAUCUGCCAUCAACAAUGCUGUUUUUCCAGGUUUACAGGUUAGUACUUGUUUCAUGAUAAGAAAUCUGAUUUAUACCUGAUCAUUUAUUUGUUUCUUUAAGUUCAGCAUUUAUAUUUCGAAUUCCGAUAUAAAAAAGGAUAAAUGCUUGAGUUCUUUAUGCAGGGUGGUCCUCAUAACCACACUAUUGGGGGCCUUGCAGUUUGCUUGAAGUAUGCACAGUCCCCAGAAUUUAAGGCUUACCAGAAUAAGGUACUGCAAUUAUGCUGUCCUCAGUGUAAAACUGGUCCAAAGCAUGUCCUAAGUUAGUCUGGAUACUCUACCUUGCAGGUGGUCUCUAAUUGUAGGGCUCUUGCAAGCCGAUUGACUGAACUUGGGUAUAAACUAGUUUCUGGUGGAAGUGAUAACCAUCUGGUUCUUGUGGAUCUGCGGCCUUUAGUAAGUUCCUAAAUUGUUGAUUAAUUUAUUUGUUUUAAGUUUUUUAUUGUUAUUGUUGCUUGUAUGAGAACUUGUCCUGAAAUGUGCACGUUUAGCUAUUGUUUAGCAUUGCUUCCUAUUUUGCCUUUUUUUGUUGUUGUUAAAAGCUUAGCAUUUAGAUGUUUUGGAAAGGUAAAGAAAACAGUUGAGUUAUGACUUCACUAGUUUUAACAUUUACGCUUGGCUUGAACCCCACGCGGGGAGGGGGUUGUGUGUGGGUAGGGUGUGUAGUAUCAAAUUUACAGGUCCUCUUGUUUUUUGGACUAUUGGUUAAGCAUUAAAGUUAUGAUUGUAUCCUUUGCAUUAGUUCAUAACCGUAUCGAAUUUUCCAAUGUUAUUUGACAUUUUCUUUAUUAACAGGGUAUUGAUGGAGCUCGAGUGGAGAAAAUUCUUGACAAGGCUUCUAUCACCCUUAACAAGAAUUCAGUACCUGGUGAGUGUAAGGAUCUAUUAGGCUGAAAUGACUUGUAAGAAUGUCGGAUUUGAGAAUAGAGCUAAAUUAGUAAAUGAAAACUUAAAGCUUUACAUGGAAUAUGUAUUUGAACUAACUAGAUACAAUUUGUUUGCAGUGGAUUUGAAAUAAUCAAGUGAUCAUAUGAAAUGCAUGUGUCCUCUUUUGAUUCAAAUCUGGGCAUGUGUUUUCUUUUGGUUCUAAUAUUAUAAUCAAGCCAUUUACAUAAUUUUGCCAGAUGGACCCUAAGCGUUUCAGAUCUUUAUUUUUGGUUUGAGGCUUAUUUGGGCCUAAGGGUUAGUUGCCUAGUUUUGAAGGUCCUAUCUUUUUUUGUUUGUGUAGUUUUGGUUUUUAUUUGUCUUUCAGCUAUUUGGCUUACACCUGUGAUGUUUGAUGAAAUAGGCGAUAAAAGUGCUGUAGUGCCCGGUGGCAUUCGCAUUGGAUCACCUGCCAUGACAACAAGAGGAUUCGCUGAGAAAGAUUUCAUAGCUGUUGCAGACUACAUUCAUGAGGGUGUGCAGAUAACAAUUGAUGCUAAACGCGCAGUCUCAGGAUCAAAGCUCCAAGAUUUUAUGAAGUUUGUAGCUUCACCUGAAUUCUCCCUAAAGGAUCGAGUGUUGGAUCUGCAGAGAAGAGUUGAAGCUCUUACCACUCAGUUCCCAAUGCCUGGAGUAUAACUUGUAUAGAAGGAAAUGCAAGCUUAACUUGUCUGCACAACUAUUUCAAGGGAGCUUGUGGAUGACAACUUUUAGGUUUGGCAUGUAAAAUCAUAAAUUAGCGUGCUCUUUGCUAAAUAUUCAUCUUCAAUUUUUGGUCUUGUGUGAAGAUGAGAAAUAAAUGACUAGUUUUCUCCUAGGGAAUUAUUUAGGGAGCUUGAAUUAGGGAUCCACACCAUUGUAGAGCCCUCUCUGAGUUGAAGUUUUGUGAUCCGAACCCUUCCAACACACUUUAGAAAGGUGUUAGCCGUGUGGUGAGCUUGGGCGGGACGGUACAGAGCUUGGGCACAAUUCCCGGAUGUCAAGUUCAACCAGCCGCUCAUGAUGAGGGAAUGCCUUGCAGAGCAGGUAUGAAGGGCCUGAACAGCACAAGGGUUGAGGUCCUAAGAAGUUAUCUAAAUUGAUCCCUUGUUAAUUUGAGUAACAGAGAUUCCAAUUGUUUUACUUUCGCAAUAAUCAUCAAAUGUUGACUUAAUAAACAUGCCAAUAUUUUAUCUGCUAACAGUAAAUGAGAUUAAGUGGACUCAAAUUUGAAAAAAGAAAAAAAAAAGUCAGUGGGUAUAGCUCAAUUGAUUGAGCUCUCACAUCCAUUUAUGUAGACAAAGGUUUAAAAUUUCCACGCACCAAAUAAAUAUUUGUGUAAACUCCUUUCCUCCAAUCAUUUGUAUCCAAACAAAAAUACAUAUUAAUAAACAAAUUAGUGAGUGUAGCGUUGGUCUUAAAGGUAGAAUUCAUAAGGGUUUGGAGAUGAAAAACAAAGAUAUCGCAUGCGCCCUAUUUGUUUGUUUCAUCAGUGCCCUGUGCGGCACCUAUAUUUAUUCCCACAUAAAUUUUUUAAUUUAUUCCAUCAUUAUUGUUGUUGGCAUAUUAUAUAAAUAUUAAUAUAUGGUUUUAAUUUGGCACUAUCGCCUUUGAGAAGAUAAAGCACAUGUCAACGGGGUCUAAUCAAAUGAAAAAGGAUCUUAAUUUGCAGACCGGAAGUUUCAAAUUUGAAUCUCUACGACAUCAUAAUUGUGUGUGUGUAACAUUUCUUUGACACCGAAGAUGGAACAAGGUCUUCCUCAUGGUAGCUAAAGCUUAUUUUAUUUAAGCAAUAUUGCGCAAUUUACAAUGAGGCACCAUUUCUUUGGUGCGGUAGAUGGAAUCAAAUUUCUUUUCUUUUAUGCAACAUUAUUAGCUCCAUGCGUUUUUUAUAUUCAUCUUUCUGUUUUAUAUGCAAUUUAUUAAUGUGGCAUUAGAUAGACACUGAAGCAUUCUGCCUCUCGAAUUAAAACACAUAUACUUUGUAUUUAUUGCUAAAACCAAUCUAAUCAUACACACGUAACCCGUGAGUCUUAUCAUAUUAUUUGUUCUAAGAGUUUUUUUUAUUUUAUAUAUAUAUAUAGGACUUUUUCUAUUGAAAUGGGCGAUAGCAUAUUAAAUUCACACAUAUAACACGGAUGCUAGGACUCGAACCCAGAACCUUGCCUGAAGGAGUAAAUAUUUCAAAUCACUACACUAGUGAUUCCUUUACUUGUUCUAAGAAUUAUAUAUGUUGAGAUUCGACACCUACCAUGCGACAUUUUUAUUUUCUAGUGUUUGCAAAUUGUAGAUCGAUUAGUCAUAUGAUAAGGCCUAGCUACCAGACAUGAACAAAUAAUAAAUCAAAUAAAUAAGCAAAUUUGUGACAUUUCCCUACAAGGCACUCAUAGAAUUGUGUCGUUUUUGUGCUAGUUCAGUGUCUAUGGUACAAUCUAAUUAGGGGCGGGGGAAAGCAUUAAACCAAUAAUGAUCUACUUCUCUGUUUUAGAAGAUAAAUGACAAAAUAAUUAUCUUGUUUUCAUUGUUCUUUAUCUGUUAUUCAACAAUUGUCGUUGAUGAGGUUUGAAAUUAGAAUCACUGUUAAUAGAAUAAAUGAGUAUCACUAGACCAAAUUAUCGUUGACGUAGUUAUAAUCUAUCUAUUGUACCAAUAAUUUCUUUUUCUUUUUAGCACUUUGGGAUGAGAUUCUGUCAAACAAAGUAGGUAUUUAUAAAGAAUAAUAAAGAUGUAUUAACCAUAAAUAACAUAUGAAAUAAAUCCAAACAACUAUAGGAAAUAAAUCUUAAUACAAUAGGACUAAAUAAACGAGCAAGUAACAAAAAAAAUCUAAUUAAGUAAGGACUCACCAACAGAUUCAACGAAGAAAUUUGUCCAUAUAGAGAAUGAAACAUUCAGUAAUUUAUCUAUUGUACUUAAAACCUUAUUAUUAUUAUUUUCUAUGUAUUCUUGAUUGUAUUUACUAGCCUCUCUGCACGCGCUUCCGCGCAUGCGAGAGGUUUUUUAAAAAAAAAAUUAAAAUUUAUUUUAGAAUUAAAAAAGAUAAUGGAUAUUUGUGUUCCAUAAAAAUAGGACCCAUUAUCUGAAUUUUCUUUUAAUUUUAAUUUUUUUAAUACGAAAAAUUGUAAAUUUACCAUAUUAUCCUCAUUUAAUUAAUAAUUUCAAUUCUUAAUGUUUGCAUUAACCAAUGGCAUUUUCUGGUAUUUUGAAUGUUUCACCAUUCUCUGCCUUUUGCUUUAUAUAUAUAGAUAAUACAAUAAAUCCUUAUAGGUUAAGGAAAGUAAUAAAUCUUAAUUCUAUUUACAGUAGAAAAUUAUGAAUUAAAGUAAAUUAAUUAUAUUUAAUUGAGGAAUCCUUUUGAAUAUAAGGAAAGUAAUCACAUGUCCACUAGUCACACCAACAGAUGGGGGGUGCUCAAAGUUCCUUCUCCUGCUUACGAUUGAGAGGAUAUAUUACCCAAUUAGUCCGACGAUCAAAUCCAUAUAUGUAGAGAUGCGCCUAAUCCUCUAAGACAUAUUCCGGUUUUUAUGCUCGUUCUUCCGUCUUCAUCAAUAAAAUACUAUCCGAGUGAAACCUCUGUUUCUCUAAUUGUCACCGACGCGUGGUCAUCACUCAGUUGAAGAAUUUAGUCAUCUGAUUAAUAAUAAUGGUCAUUGACUCAUUGGUCAAUCCUGCAAACGUAACGUUGGGAUCCAAUACAAAACGCAAAACGCCAUAAAAAUUAACUGUAAAUCGGUGUGUGUACGUAAAUCAAUAUCUGGAUAGAUAGAAUACAGGGAUGCUUUGCUGCUCACUCGUCGCCAUCAUCAUCAUAUCACCAUGCAAUUUAAUACAUAAACAGUCGAAUAUGAUCCCUACUCUUAACUGCCCAAUUAAGAAAACGCGUUUAUGCACUUUGCCAUGCUUUUGUUUUUUUUUUUCUCUCUCUCUCUCUCUCUCUCUCUCUCUCUCUCUCUCCUCUUUUGGCGUUUCCUUGUUGUUCCUCCCUUUCCUUUUUCCUUUUCUUAUUUUUUUCUCUCUCUUUCGCUCCCGGUCAUUAUUCCAGUGGUAUAAAUACUACCCACCUCCCAUAACCCCACUGUACCAAAACCCCACCCACCUCUUUCUCUCUAAUGGCUCUCUCUCAAAAAACCAUGCUCCUAAUAUCUCUCUUCUUCCUCAUCUCUCCUUCUCUGUCAGCCAAAGAGAACAAGUACCUGAACAACACCACUUUUUCUCUCUCUUUCCCUCUCACUUCUUCUCAACUUUCUCUCGCUCCAAACACAUCCAAACCUCUCCAUCAUGCCUCUCUCAUUUCAAACUCCAGGCGAAUCCCAAGACUCACAUCGUACAACCAGAAGCUCUCCUUCAAGUAUUCAAUGGCUCCGAUUGUUUCUCUCCCCAUAGGCACUCCUCCACAGACCCAGCAGAUGGUUUUAGACACUGGCAGCCAGCUCUCAUGGAUUCAGUGCCACAAGAAGACCCCCAAGUCAAAGCCACCACCUCCUCCGAUGGCGUCGUUUGACCCUUCUCUCUCCUCUACUUUCUCUGUCUUGCCUUGUACUCACCCUAUUUGCAAACCCCGAGUUCCCGAUUUUACCCUCCCCACCUCUUGCGACCAAAACAAACUCUGCCACUACUCCUACUUCUUUGCUGAUGGUACUUUGGCCGAGGGCAAUCUCGUCCGAGAAAAAUUUACCUUUUCUCCUUCCGUAAGUACCCCUCCCUUGAUCCUUGGAUGCGCUAAGGACACCAGUGACAGCAAAGGUAUUUUGGGUAUGAACCGCGGGCGGGUUUCAUUUGCUUCCGAAGCCAAAAUCACAAAGUUCUCUUACUGCAUACCCGCCCGCCCGGCUCAAACCGGGUCUAAUCUGCCAACCGGGACUUUUUACUUGGGAAACAACCCGAAUUCCGCGGGAUUCCGAUACGUUGACAUGUUGACUUUUGAUCCAAGUCAACGCAUGCCGAAUUUGGAUCCCCUUGCCUAUACAGUUGUAAUGUUGGGGAUAAGAAUUGGCGGGAAAAAGUUAAGUAUUUUACCCUCUGUUUUCCGGCACGACCCGAGCGGGGCGGGUCAGACCAUGAUCGAUUCCGGCUCCGAGUUCACGUACUUUGUGGACGAGGCUUAUACUAAGGUAAGGGAAGAGAUUGUGAGACUGGUGGGACCGAGGUUAAAAAACGGUUACGUGUACGCGGGGGUAGCUGACAUGUGUUUCGACGGUCAUGACGUGGAGAUCGGACGGCUGAUAGGAGAUAUGGUGUUUGAGUUUGACAAAGGAGUGGAGAUUGUGACGACUAAAGAACAAAUUUUAGCCGAUGUUGGUGGUGGGGUCCGCUGCGUGGCAAUCGGGCAAUCCAGCAAGCUUGGUGCGGCGAGUAAUAUAAUUGGGAAUUUUCAUCAGCAAAAUCAAUGGGUGGAAUUUGAUCUGAGUAAUCGUAGAGUUGGGUUCGGUAGGGCCGAUUGUAGCAGAUCAGUGUGAGUCAAUAUAGCUAGCUGUUCAAGUUGCAAAAAGUCUUGUUAAACGCAAGAGGACAAAAAGGUCAUUAUAGAAGAGUCUAAGUGAGAUGUGAACUAGUUUGGCAUGGCCCAUGCAAUUAGUGGUAUCAAUUUUACUCCCCUGGUAUAGAAAGUACUGUAUCGUGAUGUGAUAUAUGUUGAGAUUAAUAUAUAUAUAUAUACGAGGAUGUGAAAUAUAUUAUCACUUUGUCAAAAUCAUCGUCUCUUUUCUAAUUUAUUUACUCAAACACUCACUCACCACUUGACCUAACCUCGAUUCUUUUAAAUAUUUUUGGACCUACGCAUAAUCAAGACAAAGGAACAUGCAGUGUGUAUGAGUUUAGUUUGUUAUCGUCUCUUUGAAUGGAACAGGUCUUACAAAAAAAUUUAAUUUUUUUAUUAUAAAAGAUUCUUCAUUCCAUUCAUGCCCCCCAAUUUCCAAACAUCACCCAUGUCCUAAUUAUGGUAAAACAAAAACAAAACAAAAAUCUGUGUGUAAUUUGUAAUGCCCUUGUGUAUCUUUCUUUGAUGACAAAAAUCAGGUGCCCUGGUAUGGAUAAACAUCGAACACAAAUAAAGAAGACAGAAAAGAAGAGGAAACUGCGGGCUCCACCCAAGUUGGAUUCGUGCAAAGAAGAGACGACACCUACUUGGGACUCUUCUGCCGACUCUAACUGCUCCUUCUCCCACAUAUAUUCCCGACACGCACAUGAUUCACAUUUUCUUUUUAUCUUAUUAAUCAUACUUUUUGCUCUUUGAUUAAAUAUUUUAUUACAAUUACUUUUGAAAAGGCCAAAAAAAAUAUUAACAAAAAAUAAUAAGGUCAUUGCUCUUCUUCUUCUUCUUCUUCUUCUGACCUUUUUACCUGGUCACGUGGAAUUUGCAAAAUAAGUGUUCCAUCGUUUGAAAGACAUGAUUAGCCAUCUCAACUUCCUCCUUUCAUGAUGAAGAUGAUGUGUGCACUACUAUUGAUGAUUGAUGUGUAGUUUGUAUGUACAUGUGGCCAAAGGUCAGCCUAAAGCAUCUCUCUCUCUCUCUCUCUCUCUCUCUCUCAUUUUCAUGUCAUGGAUAAAGUUGCAGUGAUUUUGAAUGAGAUUAAUUUAAUUUUAUAAAAAAACUUUGAUCCAACACUUGUCAAUCCUGUGCUUAAUUUAAUUGGAUCUCAAUGUGCAAGUAUUUGAUGAGGAAAACGUGAUUGGGAUCAAGACAAGGCCAUUUGAUGGCCGGUGAAAGUAACCUAAUAAAGCAAAACCCUAUUAUUAGGCCUCUCUCUCUCUCUCUCUCUCUCUCUCUCUCUCUCUCUAUAGAUAGAUAUGCUAGCUCUCGUGAAUUUUGUGAAUGAUCAUCAUCCAGUCUUCUUGUGCCAUUACAUUGACUAAGUAUUAACUUCAUCGAUCAUAUGGAGGAGGUGAUAACACUGACAUAAAGCAAUCUAUCUUCAAGUGCUUUCCUUUGCUCCCGUUUUCUAAAGCCAUCAAUCAUUAGUGUUGGAAAUUUAUAUUGCAAUAUACUAAUGCAAUUUAGAAGAAAGUUUUCAAAUUCCAACUCCUUAAAACAAAUACCCCACAAUAAUAAAGAAAGUUCAAUCCUUGUUUGAAGAAAUGCCCUACGUUAGAAGGUUGAGAAAUUCAUCAAGCCCUUAUAAGGAGUUGAGUUUACUUUCUCCGCACAUUUCCAAUUAAUUUUGGAAUGAGACCUUCAUAAUAUCACAUUCAUGUUUUUUCGCACGUGUAAAGUCCAACAACAACAACACGUACCCUCCACAUAGAUGUUGUACACGUGUUAACCCAACAAUUAUGAACUCAAAACAGAGGUGGCAGCUUGCUACUUCAAAAAACUCGGAUCCUGUUUUUGUGGGGCUUGCCCUUGUAAUGCUAUGUGCUCCAUCAACCCGCAAGCGGUCCCCUCAUUGUAGAGCAUUUGUCUGCCAUCGAUUAUCUUCUGUUUUCUAUUCUUUUGUAUCGGAUUGUCCUCAUCUAAAAACCCUAAUAAUUUGAAGUAUAAGACAUUGCAUAUACGUAUCGGGUUGUGUGCCCAUGAGGGUUACAACUUACAAUGCUUUGCUUUGGAGAUUGUCCCACUUUUAUUGGAAUUAAUUCUGCUUCGAAUAGCUUGUACUUUUAUCGAAGUUAUGGCUAGCUAGAAAUGUUGACCCAGUCCUUCAACUUCUUUUCUUUAUCUUUAUUUUUUGGGUCACCAUCAUCUUCGAUGGCAUGGGUGCAGUUGGUACUUUAUGAGCUAAGGAUGGACUUGUGCCUCUAAUGUUUUGGGAAGUUCUUUUCGUAUUAAAAUUGAGAAAGAAAAAAGAAGAGAAAGGUUCAGUAAAAGUAAAGUUUGCAAGGAGAGGUUGCCUAAUGCAAAGUAUUUGCCUCGGUUUUUUCAAAUUCUGAAAACAGAAAUACAUUAAAAGUUAGAUCCCCUAGGAAUUUUAAAACGAUACAAAAUCAAACUACAUUCUAGAAACGACAUUUUUAGGAAAAUUACUAAACUAGAUACAAGGAUUAUUAUGCUUAUGCCCAAUUGUAACUAAAUGAUUCAGGCAUAUGUGAGUAAUAGUGACACCGGGAUUUUUUUUCCAUUAACACCCAAAUAUCAUUCACAGCAGAUGAAAUGUACUUGUUGAUGCAUUGUUUUUCAAAUAUUUGGUUGAGAAAAUCCCCAGUGAAGUGAAUUUGAUAAAGUUGAACCACGUUUUCAACAUUGGAUGACCGAAGUCGGCUUCCAGGGGAAAAAGAUGUAAGCAUCAUCUUGUCAUGAUCAUCAAAGUAUGGAAUAUUAUGAUUGCAUUUUGAUUUUUUUAGAGAAGAGAGAAACAACAGCUGGCCAAAAGAGUUAGCUGCCAAGAUGGACUGCUUUGAGAGCCAAUAUUCCUCGAGAACCUAACCCUAAGCUGGUUCUUGUAUAAGUGAGGAACAGCUAGCUCUCUAUCUCAGCAGCAAGGCAAGACAGAUUUGCACGCCCUUAUUAGACACUUCACUUUCUUCUUGCAUUAUGAUUGUGAUGUAACAUAUAUAUAUAUAUAUAUAUAUAUAUAUAUGCAUGCUAGCUAGUGCUACCUCUCUCUCUCUCUCUCACUCUCUCUGCAUGAAUUGAAUGCGCCAGAACACUUCUUUGAAAAAGCAAACACCAAAAACCUACUGCUUUAGAUAUUGAUAGUAGGCGCCUGCAAAGAAAGAUUUUUGGUUUAUCAUGGACUCAUGGCUAAUGGUCCCCUUCCUAUUAUUUUCCACGCGUUUCUUUUAAGAUUUCCCAAUUGCAAACAAAAUGAAAGCAAAUAGUGCCAGCUUUCUCUUAUUUUUUUGUUGGUUUGGUCCCCCACCCUUGGCUCGAUUUUUGGUUGGUGAACGAAAAUAGUGGAAGUCAGUGAGAAACUAAGGACAGUCCACUCAAUAGUCGGCCCAUGUUUGAUUAUAAACAGUUUUGAUUCUCUGCGUUGGCCCAUCUUUAACUUUUUGGUUUUUUUUUUUGGGAGAUUUACUAUUAUACCUAUAUAUAGAAGUUCAAAUUAUAAAAAAAAACCAUAUAUGAAAUGGACUUUAGAAAUACACCCAAAGCCCAUUUACAACAUAGCAAAAAGACUUCUAACUUCUUUUAAAUUACAAAACUGCCAUUGAUUUCUUAAAACAAACUCAAUCUCAAAACCUCGUAAAAACCCAAAACAAGUAUCUAAGUAAUUUAAUCAUCAAAAUUAAAUUCAAUAAGGUCAGCUGUCAUUUUUUGGGUUUGUUUAUAGAAAUUAAAUGAUAUAGGGUUAUUUAUAGUUUUAGUGCUAAGAAUGGGUAUAUAACUAAAUAUAUAUAUAUAUUUGGUUUGAAACUUUUUGGUGUUUAUAGCUACUAGGCUUGGUAAACAAACCGUAAAAGCCAACAAGAUCUAACUCAAUGGAAAAUAACCUUCAUUUUCAGAUCAGUAAUCUCGGGCUCGCACCAACCACCAUGGCUCCUUGGCACAUAAUUUGUACAACCUUAAAAUCUAGUUGGACACAAUUGAUAUUUAUUUGGAUUUCCAAUAUUGUAGAUUUCAAUUGGUUUGAUUAAUAGAGUAUAGGGUGAAGCAUUAGUCUAAGGAUUACAGACAAAAGAUAGAGCCUUAUAAGAUCGAAAACGAUUGCUUGCUUUUGUCUUUCAAUAAAUAUAUCUUUUUAAGCAAUUACAUAUUGUGAACCAACAGUUGGUCAAUAGCGAUGAAAUUGUACACUGAACCAUUUAAGAAAAUGUUGCAUAAACGAUACAGCCUUCUGAAAAAGCAAAUUGGCAUUCACACACUGUCUUGAUAUAUAUACCUUGUUUUCCCCACCCAUUUCAUUUUCCCUCUCCAUGAAGUUUUAAUGAAAAUUAAUCUGCUCUUUGCACACCUUAUUAUCCCAACAAUACCUUUAAAACCCCAGUUUCUUUUCUUUGAACUUUAAAUCAUCCAUGGAAGCCUGCACUCAUGUGCAAUAAUUUCUUGUCAUUGCCUGCAUAAUGUCUUGAAGGCCAAUGCCAUUUAACAUGGACAGUAGAGCAUCCUUUGAUCAUAUUCGGUCGCUUAAGACUCAAAAAAGUGCCAACGCAUGAAAAUUGAAAAAUACCUUGUCUGAGCGCACUUCUGUUGUUAUAGUCUGGCCAUGUCUGGAUAGAAUGUCGAUGAUCUUUCCAUCCUUGACGGAUUUGGACUGGCCGCAGCAAAUAUUUGAUAGAUUUCUUUUUCUAUCUGAUAGUUCUUCGGAUUCCCGUAACAGUUUGAUAGAAAAGGAUUUAUUCCAAUGCUCGUAUUUUCAACUUCUUUUGACUGCAGUUUACUUGUGUCAGAAAAAUGCUUUCUGUUGUACUGUGGUAGUGUGUAUACGCAAGUAUCUCAAGUCACUUGUUCCUUUCUGUUGAUUUGAGUCACUUUGAAAUCCUUAAGUUAAGACCUAAUCACCAGACCAACCAAAUUUGACUUAAACCACUAUUUUCCAACAACUUGCUCCAAUCAUCUCUUCCGGCGAUCCUUCGAAGAUUUAUUGAAUUCACUAACUAGAGAAGUGUAAGAAGCAUAAUCAAGAACAAGCCCUUUUCCACUCCGUAGCUUAUCAAAGUCCUCAGGGUUUCCAUGCUUGCAAUGUCCUUCUAAGAGAAUGUUGUAUGUAAUGUCAUCUGGAGCCACCCCCAAAUUAAUCAUAGCAUCCAAAAGCAUAUUAGCAUUUUUCAUCUGUCCUAGCUUGCAUAGUCCAUUCAUAAGCGCAUUAUAGGUUACAACACUAGGUACAUAGCCAUCACCCUGCAUCUCCUUGAGCAACUUAAAACCCAUCUUAACAUCACCCUUCUUGCAAAACCCGUCAAUGAUCAUCGUAUAUGUGGCAUCAUCAGGUUUCAUGCCAGAAUUUAACAUCUCCCUCAACGUUCUUUCAGCGUCAAGUGUUUUUCCUUCUCUACACAAUCCUGAAAUAAGGGCUGUGAAAGCUACAUUGUCAAGCUCAAUCCCUUGUUUAAUCAUUCCCUUCCUUAUCUCUAGAGCCGAUUGUAGAUUUCCUUCUUUGCAGCAUCCAUCAAUAAGCGUAGUAUAAGUGAUCGUGUCAGGCUUCAAACCUGCUAUAUUCAUCUCCUCAACAAGCUUCCUCGCUUCUUUCAAAUCUCCAACUUUGCAAAGGCCAUUUAUGAGUGUAUUAUAUGUAAUUACAUCUGGUUUGAUACCAAUCCCCAACAUUUUCUGAUACACUUCCAUUGCCAAAUCAAUUCUUCCAUUCUUACACUGCCCAUCAAUCAAAGUAGUAUAUGUGACAUUAUUCGGAACCAAACCCCUCUCACACAUUUCAUCAAACAACAAAUUUGCAUCGUCCAACCUAAGCUCCUUGCACAGCCCAUUGAUCAAAACACUGUAAGUAAAUACAUCAGGACGUGUUCUGCUUUCCUCCAUAUCUCUCUUCAACCUAAAACACUCCUCCAGAUUCCUAGACUUACAAUACCCAUUAAUCAAAGUAUUGAAACUAACUACAGUCGGAAGCAGACCCCGUUUCCCAAUUUCAUCGAAAACCAACUGGGCUUCUCUAAUUUCACCUUCUUUACACAAUUUGUGCAUCAAAACAUUGAAAUUAUAAACUUUUGGUGGAAACCCAGAAUCCAAAAUCUCCAAAUAAAAUCCCCAAGCCACAACGGGCGAGUUCAACUUGAGCAUCUUAUCAAGCAAACAGCCGCAAGCAUGAAAUGGGAUUCGAAAAUUAUGCUUCCUAAGCAAUCUAAAGCACUGGCAUGCGUCAGAAACAAAACCACAAUCCACAUACGCAUUCAUCAAAGCAUCAAAUACAUAAUUGGACUGGUGGGUACCUCUAGUUUCGAGAAUGGAAGCGAAGACGGAGGAUGCAGUCUCCUUGCCUUUGCGAGAAACGACGAUUCGUAGGAGGGACUGAGCUUGGGGAUACAUUUGGUGAGCGCAGAGGAAGUGGGCCAUUGUGCAAUAGGAUUGGAUGUUGUGGCGAAACGUGGGGUGAGAAGAGAGCCAGUUGAAGAAGGAGAGGAGAGAGAGAGGGGAGAGAGAGUGGGGGUUGAGGUUGAUGAGGUUGAUAACGUCACGGGCUGUGAGGGAAGGGAGGAGCUUUCUGAGAGAGGAGUCCAGAGGCUGAGAGUUUUGGGUGGUGGUUUUAAUUGCGUCGGAGAUGGCUGAGAGCUUUGGGUCUUCAUUGUGAGGUGUUGGUGGUUGGUUGUACCAAGCGGUUGUGGUGGCGGUGGAGAAGCAUAAGCAGUAAUAGCAAUUGUGAGUGUGGGGGGAAGAGAGAAAGCAAAGGCUCCUCCUUGGGAUUUUGAAGACAGCCAUGCUUGUUCGAGUCUGUUGCUUGCCAUCUGCUUAAGAGCUUCCCAGCUCCUUUUUGUUUUUAUUUAUUUAAUUUUUUAUCCUAAACUUUUUAUCAUAAAAUAUUCAUGAGGUUAAUGAAACUAUAAGGUUGCGUUUGUGAUCACAAGUAGUCCUAGCCGUUAGCUUCCAUCCAAAAAAUCGUUAAAUUGUUGAUAUAGCACAUUUAGAUCCAAUGAUAUAAUGCCACGUGAAUUAAAAAAUAGAAAAUACUAGGCAUACCACAUUUAUAUAACACAUUGUGUACCACUUUUCUAACAAAAAUGAGCCCCAUUAUAUUGGUGGGCUCCAUCUUUAUUAAAGAGGUGGUACACAAUGUGGUAUAUAAAUGGUAAGCCUAGCAUUAUCCUUAAAAAGUGUAAGUAUGAGCAUGUGUACGAACAUUUUUUUUAAAAAAUUGUAUAAAUUAACUUUGAUAAAUUUAACGCUCACCAAUAGGGUUGGGCAUAAAGACUGAAAAAUUGGAACACCGAGCAGCACAUGUGGGGGCAAAUAUUUCGACAACCAAUCGUGAGACACCACGUGGACAAUGAGAAUAUGCAUUAGGUCAACAAUUGUGCUCCAUUUAAUUGGUCAAUUGUUUGGACUUAAAAUAGAGAUAAUACCAUAAAUUAGAGAUUUGAUCUUCAUUAAAUCUUUAAUUGAUUCAAUCUCUCCAUUUAAAGGAGAGAAUAAUUCCCUUCCAUAUGAGAAUUAUUAUAUGAAAAUCCCUAGAAGUCAAGAGCAAUAUAAAUACAUGGCUACAUCACACAUAUGAGGUAAUUCUAAAAAUCCUACAAACUUUCUCUCUCUCUCGCCGCCCCCCACUUUCUCUCUCACACGGCUCCAGCAAUACACAUGACUCCGACCACCCGGUUCUCUCAUACCGUAGAGAAAACUCCAACAUUCUCUGUUAUUUUCGUAUCUUUCUUAAGAUCAUCUAACUGACUUAGGCAUCGAAGGGCCUUUGACCAACAUCCUCUGGGUGUGCUCUAUUUACUCCAGUCUAUUUUGCAGGGAUCGAGAAGGAAGAGAGAGAAGGAAGUUGGAAGGGUGAAAAAUCUCUUACAAAUAUUCUCUUGUAAGAAAUUUGUACAAACAUUUGGUGCUUUUAUUGAGAGCAUCGAGUUAUACUUAACACGUUGCUCUCGAAUCAAAGGAAUCUGUUUCCUCCCAUUCAUCACUCAACUAAAGCCUUCCAAACAACAAUGGUUGGAAGCAAGCGCAUAAGAAGCAAGACCGCCACGACGACACAAUCUUCUAUGGGCCCAAGCUGCCACGACGACAAGACGUUGAACCAGUUGAUUCAUUCUGCUGUUGAAAUCGUGACUGCAGUCACGACACUGGCCCAUGUUGUUGCUCCACCUCACGACACCAUGGCCGAGAGUGCCAUGCAAGAGCACGUCGUUGCUCCACCGCCUGGCCUCCUAGCCGAAGGCGCCACUCCACCAUAAGACGUUGUCACCGAGACCACAGCCACAGCCUUGCAGUCGCGCAGUCUAAUGGUUAGUUCCAAAAGCCACAAUCCCUAUGGUCUCGUGGCAAAAUCUAAUGUUCACCACCACCACGAUGCCACGGUUUGUCGCGACACCAUUGCUCACAGUUGUCAUGGUGUCGUCGCCGAUUACGACCCAAUCUUGGAGUAACUACAUCUAUUCCCUCUUUUGCCACCGCGCUCAACGAAUGCUUCCGCUUACACCUUCAACAAAACCCUAGCCCACGUGCAAUUGGGCUCCGUAGAAUUCUCUCAUCCAGAUCCAAGUAAUGAAGCAAACCUUAGUCUAAGAGUCAACCAGUUGACCCAGAGAGUCAAUGAUCAAAAUCUCCUGGUUGGAUAACUUCUCAAGCAAAUUGACAUGGUCCGAGGCCUUGGUGUUUGAUCCCAUGAUGAAGAGAGAGAUGGAAGAACAUACCGACAGACAGUUCGAGAGGUCCUAGGUAGGUCGAGCAUGAGCGUGCAUGCAAGGAGAAGGACAAGAACGCGUUACCUAGCACGCCGGCAUGUCAGAAGCAUCUGUGAGUUCCAGCCCAAGUAGAUCAAAUUUUCGUUCAAGGAUAGGUCAUAGGACCAAUGUGCACGAUAGGUUGGCCCCACGGUCUGAUGUUCAUGCUUGUCUGGCCGCAAGAAAUUAUUUAUGUAAGGCUAGGCCCACAUGGAGAUAAGCCUCAUGAUCCUCCUCAAGAUGUGAGUGAAAUAAGACGCUCAUCGGCUUGCUUCGGAAGAGCCAAUUAACGGUUACAAGCCACAUGGAAUCCUUCACAAGCUCAGUCCACUAAUAUGCCGCAUAGGUAAGACAACCAAGAAGAUAAACCCCCGAGAGUCAAUGAGGAGGUCAAUCAGCGACGUACACGUUAUGGGAGACACCGACGUGAGCCGCAAGCCUUGCAAGUAUAAGAUGUCAAGAAACUUGUGAAUGACUGACUCCGAAAUCUCAAGGUCGGAGGAGACUUGGAGGAUGCCUUGCACAAUGAGGUAUAGCAAGUAAACUCAUCUCCAUUCACCAAUGAGAUUAAGCAGGCAACCCCACCAAGAUGAUUCACAACGCCAUCUUUCACGUCAUUCAAAGGGGAUUUUGAUCCCUAGAGCCAUUAGAAGCAUAUUAGAAGUCCGAAGAUACUAUGAUGUGUAAGGUGUUUGCAAUGACCUUGCGGGGAGCAGUUCAAGACUGGUUCCGUACCCUACCGUCAGGAUCGAUCAUUAGCUUCAAGGAGUUGGCCUUAGUCUUCAUGAAUAAGUAUACCUCUCACCAAACGAUCAAAAAAUAAGCCGACCACCUGUUCAACUUGCACAAAAAGCUUGAUAAAUCCAUCCGAGACUACAUCAAGAGGUUCAAAGUAGAGAAAACUAACAUCAGGGGAUGUGAUGACCCAAUCACAUCCUCAGCUUUCAAGAAAGGCUUGCCAACCGAGCAUGACCUGUACAAUGAGCUGACUAUCGUUCCCAGCCAAACACUGACAAAGGUCUUCGCGAUCGUGGAAUGCUAGCGCUCUGAGAUGACGAUUAAAUUACCUGAAAAAGGCUGCUAAGUAAGUCGAUCAACCCUCCAAGUAGGCAAGUUAGAGAAAUGACAAGUUCAACAGUAAGAAUAGCAAGCGCAAAGCGCAACCACAAGGAGUAUUAGUCAAAGUACAUGAAGUUUGAGAAGUAUUGGUCAAAGUAUAGUUUAAUUCUUGCUAUUGCAAUUAUUUUGGAUCCACAUUAGAAGUUGCAUUUUGUGGAGUGGGCUUAUACUAAGCUUCAUGGUAAGGAUUCUCAAAAGCUAUAGAGUGGUAUAGACACAUUGACUUCUCUUUUUGAUGUGUACAUAGAAACUUUAUCUCAUCUUCUUAAUUCAAGUUAUCCAAUGAAUGAGGCAACUAGUCAUAAGGAAGGUGGAGACACCGUUCUUGAGGUAAACCAAAAUUCUUAUUUAUUUAUAUAAUUUAUGUCUUGUUGCAUAUUGUAUAUUUGCAUUUGCAUGUAACUAAUACUUGCGUGUUUGAUUUUUUAUGGUGUAGGAUUUUGAUAAUAGUUACACAAAUGGUUCAAGUUCAAGUAGGAAAAAAGAAUUGUAUAAGUAUUUGGAUGAGGAAAUGCUAGAUAGAAAGCAAGACAUAUAUGUUCUUUCUUGGGUGGCAAAUGGAGCAUUUUCAUUAUCCGAUACUUUCACAUUUAGCUCAGGAUGUGUUAACAAUUCCUAUUUCUACUGUUGCAUCCGAAUCGGCUUUUAGUAUUGGCGGUCGAGUACAAGAUGAAUAUCUUAAUUCAUUAUUGCCUAUAACUGUUCAAGCUUUGUUGUGCACUCGAGAUUGGCUUUUUGGAAAUGGAGGUAGUAUUUACAUAACUUUAUACUCGUAGCUUUUAUUUGUUUUUUCAUUAUAUGAAUUCUUUGUAAUUUUUUUUUUCAAUGCUUAGCUGACAGGACCCGACCCAAAUUCCACUUUGGAAUCUAUGUCGAACCCUGUGCAUGUCCGACAUCUAACAAGUGUAGGGCAUACUUGACCAAAUUGCCCUUCUAACUAAGACUCAACAAUUCUUUUAAGGUUUGACUUAUGCCGAAAAUCGGCAGAGUCUCCCCUGUAAAACAGACAUUUCCCAAUAACUUUCCACAUGUAAAAUAAUAUGCAGUUAAAAUUGAAAUUCAAAUCCCAAUCGUUUAGCAUGCAUUAGACAAAUAACUUUAAAUAGUUUCAAACCUCUUUAUACCAAAUAAAUCAUUCUACCAUCUGAAACUGGUUCCAAUUCUUAAAACAAAAUGAGUACGUUAUCAAGUUCCAAUAUAACUUAACUGAACAAAUUUUCAACACUUGAUCUUGUGGUUGCACCUAGUAACUCUAGGUUGCCUAUGUACCUUUACUAAGGGAUCAAGUCAUACAUAGUUCUUUCACUUUUCACAUUUGCACUUGUAAAUCUUCAUCAAUUGUUAUUUUUCAAUGUAAUUUGCAAAUAAACUUAUUAUAGAUAAGUAAGAAACAAGGAAAUUAUUAUAGUAGUAUUGACCACGUGAAAUCUUAAUGUCAAUAUCAUUAAUUUAAAUAAAAUAUGUUUCUCUCUUUCACAUGUAAAAACAAAUUCAUUACUUGAGAAAAUAAUUGUGAAUUAUAUAAAAUCCUUAAAACUUAGAAAACUCUUAAUCCUUGUCUCAUAAAUCGAAAAAUAUGUAUUAAAAACUUUCGCCAAUAAGUACCAAAAUAAAAUCAUAAAUUUUAGUUAAAAAUUUAAAAACUCAAAUACUCUGCACCUAAACAUACUCCCAUUCAUGAUCCGUCAAUUCCACUAAUAUUCCGUCAAUUCCAAUAAUAUUCCAUUAAUUCCAAUAAUAUUCCAUCAAUUCCAAGUGUCACAUAAGCGAUACAUCCUCGCAGGCCUCGAAAACACAAAGUCAACCCGAGCCGCAUUCUUAGCAGAACUCGGGGGACACGUAGUCAGCCCGAGAACGCACAUCCUUGCAUAACUUGAGGGACAUGUAGUCAGCCUGAGAACGCAUAUCCUCGCACCACAUAGUUCAGGCAUCCUCGAAACUCGUGAGGCAUUGUCAUAAAUGACAAAGCUGUUUCAAAGACAGCUAGGGGAGUUACUCAUGUGGUGGGUUUGAAAACCAUAUUCCGAAACUUAUCAUAAACUUUCCUUUAUUCCACAAAUCUAAUUUUCAAAUCUUUUAUAAACUUUCCAAAAAUCAGUUUUCAACUACAUUUAAAUAAUCCAGUAUCACUCCGUCAUAUACUUUAAUAAUCAUAAUAAUAAUAAUAAAGAAUGUAAAAUAUUAACCCUUAGUGAUCUCAUAUCCUUAUUAACUCAAUUUAAAUCAAUUUUUUAAUCAAAACUCACUUAUGCAAGAAAUUCCAUAUUAAAAUAGCGAUGUACACUUCAAAACAAACGUGCAUUCAUUCCCUAAUAAAUAUAGCUGAGACCCACGGCUCACCUUCACAACUCACUAAUCAAGUGUUCCAUACUCAUCUAUUCCAUAACUUUAAUUAUUAAAAUAAUAUCCAAGAAUUCCUUAAGAUACUAUAAAACAAACUCAUAAUUCCAACAUAAUGAAAAUAACUCAAAUAACAAUCAAGACUUAAUUAUGAGGUUGUUCUAGUACUUCUCGAAGGGAGGAACUACCUCGGAAGACUCACGGUCAACCGAGGGGUCAAAUUGCCCAAACUUGAUCAACCUGGUCCGCAUGGCCCACCACCUCCGAUUUUCGAUAUGAGAGUUCCUACGGGUUCAACAAGGUUUACUAUACAUGUCCUUUAAGUUUCGUCCAAAAACGAAUGGUCGGAUCGCUUGCAUCGCACGUUAGGACGGUUAUCGUUUGAUGCAAACUUUAAGCCAUUGAAUCAGAGCAUCCGGGACUCCGAUUCCCAAUCCGCGAAUUCCCACACGGUCCUAGAGAUAUCUAGAUCAACAUAUUUCAAAAUGAAGUCAAUCCAACGGUCUGAGCAUAUCGAACCCGGAUAAUGCCUAAUAUGCGAUAUUCAAUUGACAGUCAAAUGAUAACCAAAUUCAAAUCCGAGCAUACUGUCAUGCUUGGAAUGACUUAAGGAUCAUUUUAGGAUCAAGAUGGACACCUGAACAGUGCCCACGUGUCGCCACACGCGCUGGCAGCGUGUGAGUGUCCUGAAAAAUUUCGAUGACUGGAAAAUCUCCAAACCGUCGAUCAAGACCUAUACCUACAUGAUUAGGACAAUGAAUGGAGCAACUUUUGUUUAGACCAUUGCCAAAAAGUGACCGAAACUUGCCGGAAUGACGAGCCGAAAAUCGGCCAAACUUUAAGCCAUAAAGUCAAUUUCAAAAUGCAAAAAUCGAUCCUAAAUAACCCAACCAUCAGCUGGAACACAUUGAGAGGAGUGCUUUGGUCUUCUUUAAUGGCUCCUUAGUGCAUUGAAAGUUUUGAUGAGAAUGAUACUGCAGCUGCUGUAAUGACAUUGCUUGACGAUAGAUUUGAGCAUGCCCUGAAAGGGCUUUGCUACAGACACAGUGGAAUAGGUGCUGGACCAAGUGUUCCAGCAACUGCUACUUGUUUGGAUGGGCUUCCGGUGGCUCUAGAAAGAGUUGGAAAUGGUGCAUUGAUGUUGGACAGGCCUUGCAUGAGAGCUUGCUUUGGUGAAUUAAGAUACAACUAGGCUUGACAUGAGAUGCUUGUGGCAAGUAAGCUAAGAGCCCAUAAGUUUAGCAAAAGAGAGAGAGAGUUAGAAAGGGAAAAGCUUGGAAUUGUAGCUAGACUAUAUCUUCCUGCAAAUUUCUUGGAAUAAAGAAAGUUAACUAUGAUGCUUGAAUCUUGGGAUGGUGACUUGUAGAAUGUUUGGGUGCUACUUAAGGCUUGGCAUGGUGUUCUAAGACAAAGUGAACAAAAAUGGAAGGAUUAAGGCCUAAGAUUAUAGGUGUUUUCGAUAGCUAGAGGAUGGGCUUGCGAUAUUUGGUUUUUUUCACCAAGAAUGACAGGACCCGAUCCAAAUUCCGCUUUGGAAUCCGAACUAGACCCUGUGCGUGUCCGACACCUGGCGAAUGUCGGGCACAAAUGACCUAUUUGCCAUUCUCUACAAAACACGAUAAAAAUAAUAAGGUGAACUUCUACCGAAAAACCGGCAGACUUUCCCUUGUAACUGGCUCAAUACCAAAACAUUUACACCUGUCAAAACAAGUAUAUAUAUACAACCAACUGCCAGCAUAUGUAUAUAUACAUUCCAACAGUUCAAAUCUCAGUCUAGGGCAAAACAUCAGAGCGACUACUAAAUUUACAAAAAAGUGAAUCUUUUUACAAAACAAAAUCCUACAUCAGAAGAAAGACGCGGAAGAUGGGAAGUGGCCCGGUGGUGGAUUCCUGUGCACGUCUACUGCCUAGGGGGGCAAAACAACAAAAAGGGUGAGUGGACCCAAAAACAAAGUUUAGAAAAUACCAUAUGAACAUACUAACCCAACUGUAAAAACAGUUAUACAAACUAACUUAUUUUCUUUAUUUCUGAAAUCAAUGCAUGUAUAUAACUAUACAUUUGAAAACAGUUUAAAACUAUCACCGAGGUGUACUCUAUUUCCGUCAAUUCCUUGUAUCUGUCAAUUCCUUGCAUUACCAUGGGUGACGCAUACUCGCAGGUCUCAGUGACACGAAGUCAGUCCGAGCCGCAACUCGCAGGAUUCAGGGGACCGUAGUUCACCUGAUCCACAUUACUCGCUCCACACGAGUUCGAGUACCAAGGAACUCGUGGGGCAACUGUCAAGCAUGUUGACUAAACCGAAGGCAACAAAUAUAAUCCGAAGGCAACAUGUCAUAUCUGGGUACAAGAUGGUUUAAGAAAAUAUAAAGUUUCCGAAGCAAAACUGUUGAAUAAUUAACUUUCUGUAACCUUUUAAAAUUCUGCUGCCAUUUAUCUGAUAAUUAACGAGAAUAGCUGUUCCUAUAAGCUUUAAAGGAAAUUUCACUCGGCAGCAUGCAACAUAAAAUAUUUUACAGAAUAAAACAGCUAAUAACUGAAACUGAACUGCUUAAAUUCAUUUAUUAAAACAAAGAGUCCACUCACUGAUAGUCUGAGCUCGCUGGAUGUAAUAACCCAAAAUAAAAUAUCUAAAAAGAAAUAAAAUAUCUAAAAAGUAGGAUUAAUAUCUUCUAGCAAAAAGACAAUUUUGCCCUCGCAUUAUUUAAUAGGGAAAAAGUUGACUUUUUGAUUGGAAAAGAAUUUGGCAAUUCCGCUUACGCCAUUGCGUAGAGCACGGCGAAACGAGUCCGUAGACAUGGAGUAGACCCGAAUCGGACUUGUAACGAAGACAAUACGAUCAAAAUACCGCGAACGGCAAAAUGGUAAUUUAGUCAAAAAGUCAUAUUUUUAUCCCUUCCUCCCUUCUCUCUCCUCAUUUCUCUCUCUUAUCUCUCUCUCCUCCCGAUCAGCCCGCGCCAGCCGACCUUCCUCCCUUCUCAUCGUCGCCACGGCCACCACGCUUGGAGCCGAUCUCCGCCGUUGGUACCAAACGAACCACCACUCGACCGCCAUCAUUGUCUGACCCUUCGCCGGAGUUUCCGUGGCCGGAGCUCGCCGGAAAACUCCAUUUUUGCCAGAUUUCGUGUUCAAACUUCCAGCUCGAUUUUCUCCUUCAAUUCUCCACCAAAUCGAUCGAGUAAGGUAUGGUUUCUCAGCUAUUUUUUGUGUUCUAGCUGAUGCAUGUAUGGGUUUCGAUUGAGUUUAGCUCUAAAGCGAUUAAUUUUCGACUUGAAAUCUGGCCGAAACUUCGGCCGCCGUGAUCUACUGUUUCUGGUCACUUUUUGGGGUAUGUCCAAGAACAAAAGUGACUCCAAAUGGGGUGUUUUACCUAGGAUAGAACUUUGGAGUCCUGGUUCUGAGAUUUUUCGACCACCCGAAAUCGCUUAAGACACCCAAAUCUGCCCGUGCGUGCUGGGGCGCGUGAACGAGGGUGGUGAAGUAAUUCUGUACUGUUUUGUGACCCUCGUGUCGUCACGAGCGCGUAGGAUUUCACGGAUCUCGAUUCGGAGUCCGUUUGAGCCCCGAACGGAUUUUUCAUAUCGCACGAUCCUUGGGUGCAGUGCCGUCAAAUCGUUGGAUCAGACUGAAUUUUGGAUAUGUCGGUCUACAUGAUUUCAGAAUCGUGUAGGAUUCGACGGAUUGCGAAUCGGAGUCUCGGAUACUCCGAAAUCGCGAACCCUGGGACUAGGGUUUGGAUUUUAAGCGAUACCGCGAUUUCGGCUAAUCCGACUGUCCGUUUUGGACCAAACUCGCGGAACUUGGUUCCGUCUCUAUCAGGAACCUUCAAAGAAGUCCAGAUUGGCCAUGGGAGACCAUGGACCCACAGGGUCCCGGAUUGGCCGGUCUGGUGGUUUAUCGCUUAGUCAAGCGUCGAGUCUUCCAAAACUGAUCUAAGAGUCUGAAAGGCUAAUGUGGGCAUAGGAGUAACUUGAAACGAGUGCACGUAUUUCUAGGAGCCGGGGGCAGGGUGUUUAAUUUAAAUUCUUUUUAUUCAGCAGUUUAUUGAUUUAUUAUUCAUGGAUAAUCAGGCCCCAGAGAUCCAGUCGACCCGCAGGAGGGACCUUCGAAGGGUCGAAUUAGCUCGGACCAUCAGUGAGUGGACUUUCUUUCAUAAACGAUUUUAUAUGCAGAAGUUAUAUAAAUGAUUUAUAUAAAUGAGAUUACUUAAAUGAUUUUAUAAUGAUUUUAUACAAAUAAGCUUUUAUAAGUCAGUUUAUAUAGGUUAAUUUGAUUAUUGAUUUUGAAGAAGUUUUAUGAACUAUUUAUUUCAAACGUGAUGUGAGCGGUACAAUGCUUUGAUUUACGUGUUGUUUAGUUACUGAAGCUCAAGUAAUAUAAAAAGCAGAGUUUGAGAACUCUAUCAGAAGAGACAACAGUUAAAUGUCAGUUUCACAAAAAGGCAGUGAGCUAUUAGAUUUUUCUAAAAAAUGGUUUAUUUUAGAACCACCAUGUACCCACCCUUUAUUUGGUGAUUACCUAGAGUUGGACCGAUGUCUACGGACAUCCAGUCCGAUUUCAGUUUACGUCAGUGUACUUGACUUUGCCUCACGAGUUACGGGGACGCUCGGAUCGUGAGUGCCAGGAUUUGCAGUUCGGUAGACUUGGUGUCCCGAGACCUGCCAGGAUUGCGGCUCGGCUGACUUUGUGUCCCCGAGACCUGCCAGGAUUGCGGAUCAGGCUGACUACGGUCCCCUGCAUCCUGCCAGAGCGACUCGAGCUGACUUGGUGUCAUCGAGGACCUGCCGGCUGAUCAGGCUGAUCAUAGUCCCCUGAUUUCUCCAGUUUGCGGCUCGGGUAGACUGCGUGGCGCCCGAGACCUGCCAGGGGAAUUGACGGAUAUGACAGGGGUACAAAUAGGUGGUAUUUUCAAAGGAUUUUGAGUUUUCUUUUAUUCAAUUAUGACUUUCAGUGAUUUUAUACCAGUUUCUUUGAUAUUCGCGCAUUUAUAUCCUUAUAUAUUUGUUCAGUAUACGAGUAUAUUCGUUAACACGCGUUACAUGCUUAUUUGCAUACCUUGUUUUGACAUAGAGACAAAUUAGCGAUUUAUAUCCCUAUGUAUUUCAAACGGGGGUUAUUAUGUUCUAGCUUGUUUUUAAGAACCUUAUUUUUGUCCACUCACGUUUUUAACCUGUUUUUCGCCCCCAGGCCAUAGAAGUGCGCAGGAUCCACCACCGGGCCGUUCAUAGCUUCCGCGCCACCAAAUAAGGUAGAGUUUUGUGAAAAAUCCUUAGAACCCUGAAAACUCUAGAAAAUGCUCUGAUAUCUAUUUGAAACUGAAAAACUGGAGUUGAGAUAUGUUAUUUGAGAUAUUCUGGCAGUUGGUGUGGACUUAUUUGAUUGUUUAACAGGUGGAAAACUUUUGGUUUGGUCAAAAUACAGGGGAGACUCUGCCGAAUUUUCGGCAAAAGUCUAAGGGAAAGUGUAAAAAGAAUUUGAAACGAGAGGGAUAAAAAGGUCUUUUGUGCCCAACAUUCGCCAGGUGUUGGACACGCACAGGACUUGGCUCGAAUUCCAAAGCGAAAAUUGGGUCAGGUCCAACUUCUUGCAGGUCCCUCCUGCGGGUCAACUGUGUGCCCGGGUGCCUGAUUCAAUGACCAUAAUAUUCUAUUAAUACAAUAUAGUAUUACAUUAAAAAUCCUACCCCCGGCUCCUAAACGUACGUGCAUCAAUUUAAAGUGAUCCCUAUGCCCAUAACAGCUUUCCUUCCACGUGGAGUAUUUCAGCGGUAUCUUGGGCCAGACAUUCGCCAGGUAAGGGAAAGUGUAAAAAGAAUUUGAAACGAGAGGGAUAAAAAGGUCUUUUGUGCCCGACAUUCGCCAGGUGUCGGACACGCACAGGACUUGGCUCGAAUUCCAAAGCAGAAAUUGGGUCGGGUCCAGCUUCUUGCAGGUCCCUCCUGCGGGUCAACUGGUGCUCGGGUGCCUGAUUCAAUGACCAUAAUAUUCUAUUAAUACAAUAUAGUAUUACAUUAAAAACCCUACCCUCGGCUCCUAAACGUACGUGCAUCAAUUUAAAGUGAUCCCUAUGCCCAUAACAGCUUUCCUUCCACGUGGGGUAUUUCAGCGGUAUCUUGGGACUCAAAAAGCGCUAAAGUCCAAAAAGUCAAUCCGGAACCCCACGGGUACAAUAUGAUCUGGAUGCUGCUAGAAGGUCCAAUAUAUUUAGGACACAUGUCCCGAGGGUAUUGGUGUCGAUCAGACGGUCGGAUUGAUCACAAUCCUGUAAUCGCAUAAUUUCUAAACCCUAGCCCUAGGGUUCGCGUUUUCGGAGUAUACGGGACUCCGAUUCACGAUCCGUUGAAUCCUACACGUUUCUGAAAUUAGCUAAAGUAACAUAUCUAAAAUUGAUUACGAUCCAACGGCUCAACAGUAUUGAACCCGAUAAUCGCACAAUAUGAAAAAUCCGUUCGAGGCUCAAACGGUAUCCAAAUUGAGAUCCGCGAAUUCCUAUGCGCUCGUGACGACCUAAGAAUCGCAUCAGAACACAGUGUCAUGGCACCACCCUCGCCCACGCACCGCCCCACGCGCCGGCAGCGAUGGGUGUCCAAAGUGAUAACGCAUCGCCGGAAAAUCGCAAAAACAAAGCUCCAAACUCCUAUCCUAAGUAUAACAUCAUAUUUGGAACCACUUUUGUUCUUGGACCAACCCCAAAAACUGACCGAAAGUGGCCGAACACGGAGGCCGAAAACUGGCCGAAUUUCAAUUUGAAAACUGAGGUAGCUACGGUCCAAUUCGAUGCAAACCUACCCAACCAUCAGCUAGAGCAUGGAAAAUAGGUAGAAAUCCAUACCUUACUCGAUAAAUUUGGAGAAGAAUUGAAGGAGAACGAACGGUUGGAAGUUUUGACAAAACCGACUCGUUUUUCACAGUUUCCGGUGGCUGACGGCAGCGGCUGGCAGCGGGCUGGGCUGGGUGUGGUGGCGGCGCGACGCCGGUCGUUUUGGCUCCGGUCUUGCGGCUUGGGAUGGCCGGUGGUGGCGGCUUUAACAAGUGGAGGGCGACGGGAGGGAGAGAAAGAAAACAGAGAGGGAGGAGGGCGCAGGGGGAGAGAGAGAGAGAGAGAUAUGAGGUUUUUCUAGAAAUUCUGAUUUUUCAAUUUACUGUUUUGCCCCUCGUGAUAUUUUAAUCGUAUUUUCUUCGUUAAAACUCCGAUUCGAGUUCACUUCAUGUCUACGAACUCGUGUCUCGUGCUCUACGCAAUGGUGUAUGUGAAAUGGUCAAAUUCCUUUUCGGUCAAAAAGUCAACUUUUCAUUCAUAAUUUAUUCCAAGGGCAAAAUUAUCUUUCCGCAUAAUAAAUUACUAAUUAAAUAUGAAUUUUAGGUUUGGGUCAUUACAAAGAAGGUGAUGACUAUGGUUUCAACUUAGCUUAAGAGGAUGAGUGUUUCAAAUAUAGGAUAUGGCUUUUUGAGAAAGAGAAUGAGAAGAUGGGAGAACUAGAGCUUGAAUCUGGUGCUUCCAGGAGUGGGAGAGUAUGCUUGCUCCUCUGCUUGCAUUGGCUUUUUAGGAUAGAGAAGAAGGAGAUGGAAGGGAAGGUAAUUGGGCUUGAUGUUUCCAGCAGUUAAAGGAUAAGCUCGUUCCACUACUUUGGUUGAGUUAAGUCCCCCUUGCUGAGUAGCCAAUAGCCUCCUUUUAUGGGCGCUGGAACCUUUUUUUACCCUAGAAACCCUAGAUGGUUUCUUCUCAUUUAGCCAAGUCUUCUCAUUUCUUUCUUUUCACUUUCUCUAAUAUGGCCUUAAUCAGUGAAGUCUCCCUAAAAUCAGCUAAAUCCAUGGCUAUUGGGACAAAACAUUUUGGUGCCCCAAAACCUUCCUACAGUUGGACCUUGUAGAGGCUUCAUUUCCAGGCAAUGCUCCAUCUUGGCUUUCCUUUAUCUUUUCGUGCGUGAGCUUAUAUGGGUAAAGAUGGGUAAGGGUGAUGAGCAAAUGGAAAGGUUGAGGCUUAUCUCUUUCAUUAGCCUAAUAUUUAUGUAAACUGAAUUUUAAGGGUUUCAGUUUCAAUUAAGCAAGGCUAGUCCGAUCUCAUGGGAAAAGGUACUGGAAUUUUUCUCUUACUUACCCAUGUGUUGGGUUCAAGAAAGUGGAGGUUUUGGUGCUCCCAAGUAGCCCAAAACCUCCAUCUUUUAAACCCUCAAUGAGCCUUAUGGACCCUCAUACCCAUCCACACCACAACCCGCUGAACAAGCCCAAGACAUGUAUGUGGCUUGGGCCCACUUAAGCUUGUUGGGUGGUUUGGCACUAAAGGGAGUCGCUUGGCAUGUCAUGUUAUUUGCGUGCUUAUGCUUGGGCUAUGUUGUAUUGCAGUGGCUAGGGGCUGUGUUAGAUAAUGCUUGACGAAGAAGUGGGCUAGGUGAGCUCGAGCAUGUGACAUUGUUAAACUUUACACGUUUGCAUGUGAAAUUGGUAAACCCGUAUCAUGACCUCCCCACAUGCCAAAUUCUAGUCUCAUUUGGCAUGGUGCGAAUAUCAAAGCUUGUUUAGACACUUCGUAACUUAUUUGAUGGGCAUCUAUGUCCCUUUUAUAGCACGGUAAUGAAUUGGGCCUAAAAUUAUACACGAACCUUCCUUGAGAUUUUUUGGGCCUCAACAAGAGGGUAGACUACAUAAUAGCCGACAACCGAUAACGCUCAUUAGUGUAGAGGUACUUGCCUAAUCCCUAAAAAUUAGCCCAAUUUUUAUAUUUGUUUCAUUCAUCAUCAUUAAUAAACUACCAUCAACUUCGUGUCAAAAAAAAGAAGAUGUUAACAUGCUUGAAAAUAACUAGAAAAAAUGAAGAAUAACAAAAACUAGGGGUGGGUAUAAAAACCGAUAAACCGAUCAAACCGACCGAACCAAACCAAACCGAACUGAAAAAUAAGGUUUUUUUGACCAAACCGAAAAAGUCAACGCUGGACCUGAACCGAACCGUUGACUUCGGUUUAGCCUUCGGGUCUAAAAUUUUUUGAACCGUUGGACCUGAAUCGAACCGACCAUUAUUUAAUUAUAUAUGCUUUUGACACAUGGCGUUGUCUCAUUGGCUUAAAUAAGAACUUUGGGUGGGUCUGCUUGCACUAUAUUAGAACCUCUCUCAAUUAUUUAUUUAUUAUUUUUUCAAUAACCCUCUCAGACUCUCUCUCACUCACUCGGCCUUCUCUCUCUCUCUCUCUCUCUCUCUCUCUCUCUCACUCAUGAAACUCACGAAACGAAACCCUACACUAUUUCUCUCCCGAUCUGAGACUAACCCUCACCUCAUCGGCCGCCGUCCCUUGGCUCUCUGUCUCUCUCUCGACUCAUCCCUUGGCUCUCUCUCACUCUUCACAUCUUUAAGUCUCUUAGAGUCGCGCGAGACUCAUUCUCUUUCUCCAAACCGAACCAAACAUCAUCCAAUUUUAUUGGUUUUUGGAGCAAAUCCUUGUAAAUUCUGGAGGGCUCUGGUUCAUUCUAAGGUAAUUUGUAUGUAUUUGGUUUGAAUUCUUAGUUGUUUUCAUUUUCCCUAAUUUAGUAGAUUAUUAGGGUUUUGAAAUUUUGGUAUUCUGUUGUAAUUAACACAAUUUGUUCUUAAUUUUGCAGUAGUUGUGCUUAGUCUCUGUGGGUUUGGAUUAAUAGGCAAAAUUGAAGGUAUAAAUAUUUCUGUCUCAAUCUCUAUUUGUGGCUUAAAAUUGAAUGUGUGCAUUAGAAUUACAUAUUUUUAUAUCAUCAGCUCCACAUGGCUUUACUUUCGAUGUAUGGAUUUUUGGUAUUUAAUGUGCAAGCAAUUUCUGUGGCUUUUCUUUGAUAUGAGUAUGUUUGAUUCUUUCACAAUUUUCAAAGGACCACUGGUUUCGGCGCUUUCUGUAGUUGUGUUAAAGAUUUGAAGUUCUUAGUCAGCCAGUUGACUUAGUUCAGUUUAUAGAAAGAUGUAGUGUUGUUUGAAAUCAGGAAUUUGAGAGUCUAUUCAAAGUGAAGGAUUGAAUUCUGCUUGGUUGCCUGGAAAAUCCAAGAUUUAAAAAUAUUUAAUUUCUGGAAAGUGAAGCUCAUUUCAACCAUGCCGAAUAGAUUUAUUAGUUCUCGCUGACUAAUUUUCAGUUUUUAAGGUUCAAAAGAAUAAAGUUUCUGAUAGUCCAAGCUUGUAGUUUCUUUCUUUUCCUGCAUUGUCUUAGAACUGAACCAAAUUUUUUUUUCCUUGAACUUGCAACUAUUUUAAAAUUGAUAACUCGAAAAUAAUUUCAUUUGUUUCCUUGCUACAGUUUCAUCUUUCUUUUUCUUGAAAAUUAUGGUGUGAGGAAGCUGGAAGCAGUGUUCGCGGUUCUGAUUGCAACAAUGGCACUGUCAUUUGCAUGGAUGUUUGGGGAAGCUAAACCCAGUGGCACCGAACUUCUUAUUGGUAUUGGAUUCUACUCCUCUAUCUGUGAUUUUUCUUAUUAGUUAUAUAUAAAACUGUGGUGGCCAAUAUGAUAUGUGGAUGGAACAUUCUUGUUUGAUUUCGUUUAUGCUUUUCUAUGCUGCUCUCUUUUGAUUCAUACUUUUCUGUUGGACCCUAUUUUAUUGCACUUAAGUUCAUUUCAGUCUUUCAUUUGUGUCCCCAUAUGAUUUACUUUUUGUAAUGUAUAUCUAUCUUUGUUGUUGCUGUUUUGAGUGAAGCUUGUUUAUGGAACAAAUGAAGCUUGUUUGUAACCUAACCCUUCGUUUGAUUUCAUUCACAAAAGAUGGAGUUCUAUGAAUCAAUUGAAAUGGGUAAUAUUUUCAUUUCUAUAAGUAUAUUUGAAUCCGAUUAUUUUCUUAUUUUUAUGUGUUCUAACUCAAAUUGGUUUGAUUUAUUUUAUUAUACUUUGUAGAAAUGGGGAGUAAAACAUCCAUGACAAAUUUGAAUAAGACUCUCCCUUCUUAGUGUGAUUAAGAUAUGUUGGAAGGUAUUUUUAUUGCAUCUUAUUUUAAUUAUGAUUUGUUGAUGGUGAAACUUUGUGUUAAUUCUUUUAAGUGUUGUGUAGGUUGCUUUGUGAAGGCUUUUGGAAGAAUGGAUGCAGCAGAUUUUUUGCAAGGAUAUUAUCUCUGUGUAUUUUUGUGAUGGGUUGUAAUCUUUAAUGUCAUAAGUUUAAUUUGGUUUGUGUAUUAUUUUUUGUAAUGGUUUGUAAGAGAUUAUAUUUCCUUUCCUUGGUUGGUUGGUUGAAUUGAAUGUGUGUAUGUGAGAUUUAUUUAGUUUAGAAACUUAGAUUGGAAUGAUGGAUUUUUAUAGCUUGAAUUUACAUAAUUUCAGGUUUUGAAAGAGAAGUAAAAAGUGUUUUGGGCUUGUUCAUAAGAAUUUAAUAGGUUUUGGCAAUUUGACAACAAAAAAAAGGGUUUUGGCUGAAAGGAAAUCGGAUUUGGGCUUUGUUUUACUAAAAAAAUAUGAUUUGGGCUUUUUUUGGCCGAAAAAAAAAUAAGAUUUGGGCUUUUGGAAAAUUGAAAAAAUGGGCCCAAGCCCAAACCGAGAAUAAAUCAGAACCGACCCGAGAACCGAGCCCAUUUUCGGUUCGGCCCAUUUUCGGGUUUCAUCCUAGACCCGACCCGACCCGAGAACCGAGCUCUCCUUCGGUUUGGCUCGCGGGUCGGCCAAAAUUUGACCCGACCCGAACCGUGCCCAGGCCUAACAAAAACACCCAACUUAGGUCCAAAUUGGGCGAAUCCAAAUCAAACCAAAUUGCACAACAAUGAUUUGUUUUGUUUUGAUUUCACAUGUGAUUUUAGUUAAAAUCAAACCAAACCGAUUCAAUAUGGUAAUUAAUUUGACUACAGUUUGAGAGUAAAUUCAAUCCAAUCCGAACCUUGCUCUCAAAUAUUAUCCAUACACACACAAAAUCAAAAUCAAAAUGCUGUAUUUUUUUCUUUAAAAAAUAAUAAUAAUAAUAAUAAUUUUUAAUAAUAAAAAUAAAAAUUUAUUUCGGAACAGCUCUCCUGCUGCUGGUCCUUUAGGAAGAGAGGUUUAAGAGCGAGAGAACUAAAACCCACAAAGGUGAAAGCCACGUUGAACCACUCUCUCUGUCUCUCUGUCUCUCUCUCGCUCUGUAAAAUAAGUGAGGCGAAGAUGUUUCUGCGACAAGCAGCAGCUAACCUGAUCAAGAGGCGUUUCCGUUUGCCCUCUCAAACUGUCUCUUCAACUUCCGGAACAACUACCAUUCCACUCUCCAGUACGCAACUUUUCUUCUUAUGAAUCUUAUGAUGUUAAUCACCAAAGCAAGUUGACGUUAGCGAAUACAUAAUCAAUUUGUAAUUAAGGAAGGUGUAUUGUUGCUGUUCUUGUUGCAGGCCGUACCAAAUUUUCUUAUCAAUAUCAUGGUCCUAAAGAUUUUAGUUGGAGGAUGAAUUAUAGUCACAGGGACCCUCGUGUAUGGCUUUUUCUAUCUGGAAAUGCAGGUAUGUGACAUCUCUUACAACCCAUUUACUCUUGGAAUAUAAUAAAUGAUAAAUGAGAUAUGUUAUGAUUUUAGAGUUGGAAUGAGUGUAUAUGCAUGCUUAAUCAUUAUAUGCUGAUAAUUGGCAUAUGGGUAUUUUGAAAAAUCCGGUUAGAAGAACCCUCUUUUAUGAGCCAAUUUAAAAGAUGGAAUUUUUAUUGAAACAGAGUUUCUACUUCUCUUUUCUGGAGGACUUAUUAUAUCAGAUUAUCAUGUCCCCCUUUUUUUAAUGCUUUAUCUAGCUUAGUCUACCCAUAAUCUGAUUAAUGAAAUACUUAUUUAUCUAAUCCAUAUUCCAAAUUUCAUCUGCCUUCGGUUUUAGGUAAAGGUAAGAUCAAAUGUAGAUGACCCCAACUAAUAAGCAUUUUGGUUUUUAUUGAGUUGAGUUGUUUCUGAAUUAUUUUAUUAUCCUGGGGUAUUAGCUGUUUUAUGUGAAUGUAAUAUUGUUGAAUUAUGUUGGGAAACCUGAUUUUUUAAGUGCUUAAAAUAAAGUAUUUUAUGUUGCAGGACAUGCGAAAUGUUUUUACUCUUAGCUACUUUAUAUACACAAUUAGUCAGAUAAUUUUUGCAAGAAAUCUAAGGCCAUGUGGUGAAGUACCUCAGUAUAACUUAGGGUUUGUUUAGAAAGACAUAACCAUAUAACGUAUGUUAUCAAUAGCUAUUCUAUUAUCUUUGCAGCAAUUAUUUUUACGAUACAUUCCAACACUGUCUUAGCAAAAGAUGCAUCAAUUGAAUCAAGUCCUGAAAAUGACACCGAAGGGGCAGAAGCCAUGGGAUUACGCAAGAUUGAGGACGGCUCUGUCAUAUCAAAUAUACAUACUUCUAAGUGGAGAGUUUUUACUGAUAAAGGGAGGGAUUUAUUCCUUCAGGAAAGGAUUCUAUGCCUACAUUCCUUCGUUGGCUUGCUUAUUUUGUUUAUUUGAUAGUGUUUUUAUCUUACCAAAUCUUUGGUUUAUUUGGUUCCAACUGCUAGGGAAAAUUGGAGGAAGCUGAAAAGCUUUUCCUCUUAGCUUUACAAGAAGCUAAAGAAGGCUUUGGAGAGAGGGAUCCGCAUGUUGCAUCUGCAUGCAACAACCUAGUACGCGCUUUCUUGCUGCCUUUAUGAUCAAUUUGUUAUUAUGGUAGUCCUCCUUAAGUUCAUGUGAGAAUUGUAGAUGACCAAAAAAGAGAAGAAUAUGACUAAACUGUAAAUACUAGGAAUUAAUUGAUCCAGAAGCUUGAUUGUUUAUUGACAACAAGAUUUAGGUUCUGGUUGUCAUUUCUAUCAUCAAAGGAACUGUAAGUAUUGUAUACGCGCUUUUUUUUUCCUUCUUCUUCUUGGGACCCUUGUAUGUAAUGACAAGUUAUAUUUUUAUGUUGUUAUUGUUUCAGGCAGAGCUCUAUAGAGUGAAUAAGGCAUAUAAUAAAGCAGAGCCAUUGUACUUGGACGCCAUCAGCAUACUGGAGGAAUCAUUUGGUCCUGAAGAUAUACGGUAUACUAUGGAUAUUCUGCAGACUAUAGCAGAGAAUGCUUACACAUUAUUUAAUGAUAAAGAUAAAAUUCCGGUUUACCAUUUCUUGUGUGUAACAUUUGAAAGCACACUAAGUUGCAUUUCUCUAGCUUCAUAGCAUAUGUUGGCUGCGUUUAAUUAAUUUGUUGGUAUAGGUUUUUUUUUUUCUGUUUUGCAAUUAGUUUGAUAUGAACAGGAAUUGAAAUAUCAAUAUUGAUUGUAUCUAACCUAGAAAUCAAUAUUGAUUGUAUCUAACCUAUAAAUGAAGCAUAUGUAAAAAUACAUGUAGGGCAAGGAGAGGGUCUGAAAUGAAAGUUCAUUAGGUUGUAGUUCUCAGUGCAUCGUAUAGAGCUUCAUGUAGGAGUGAGAACAUAUCAUCAAAAGCAGUAUUUGUUGCAGGAUUUUUUAGAAUAAAUUCAAGGCAUUAGGUUGAACAUAAACAUAACUUAGUCAAUACUCUACAUGUCUCUCUUAAAUUAGUAAUACAGUUUGUGCUUCCACAGCAUUAGUACACAUUCAUUAUUUCUAUACUACCUUUGAACAUACAAGAGAAUUCAAAGUUGUUAUGAUGAUAGGGGGUCAUUGAUUUCAGGGACGUAUGUAGGAACAGUUGAGAUAUAGAAUGAGAAAUUCUUUCUUCGAAGAAAAUCGACCAAUGAUUGGACACUAGUGGUCUCAGUCUUUUCUUCAAGUUUUAAUCAGUCUGGUGGUGUCCAAUCAGCAUUGCAGCUUUGAUUUUCAUUGUCCAGCUUCUUAUGUGGUUUGAAAGUCAAUGGUUUAGGAGUUAAAAAACUUAAGAACAGUGGGAAAGCUUAUAGAAAACUGUGUAAGAUUAUAAUUCUUGGUCUGUUUAUUUUAUGGGUAUUUAUAUGAGCUUAGUCUUAGACUUUUUUCUAAUAGCUUUCUAGAGACCUACUUAUGUCUUCUUUGGUGCUAGAAGUAUGUUAAGUGCUUUGUGAUCUUUGGGGAAUCACUAUCUUACUGGAAUAAGGAAGAGUUCGUACUUUUCAUUAGCAAUUAUGUUUCCUUUGGUGGAAUAUUCGGUGCUAUGAGUUGGAAAUGAGGUUUGCCAUUGCAGUUUGGUGCUGUAUGUGUAAGUGAAGUGAGAAACCAGUGGAACAUCUAUUGCUCCACUGUUUAGUUGCGAGGGAUCUAUGUUUAUAUUUCAUUCAUUGGGAUCAAUUGGUUUCUGCGUAAAGCAGUCUCAAAGUUUGGUUCUGGAGUGGUUGCUUUAGCAAGCACUGGUAUAGGGAAAUUGCAAAACCACUUCCCUUAUGCCUGUGUUGUAUUUGGAACAAACGAGAUGCCAUGAUUUUCAAAGAUAAGGAAAGCUUCCUAUAGAAAAGUGAUAAGGAAAGCUCAGGGUGACAGAUGACGUUCAGAUUUGCAACUUUUUCUAUCAUUGGCUGUUCUUGAUGAAGUGUUGUCUUCAUCUUUGAGGACUUUCUUUAUUUUAGAUUUUAGUCUAGAGUUUUCUGGGUUCUCUUGUAUAUUAUCCCUUCAAUAGAGAAGCCUUGAUUCAAUAUUAACAAAUUUAUUACUUAUCUAAAAGGGGGAAAAAAAAGGAGCAACUUAUGUGCCUUUGUAUGGGUGCUGUACUGCAUAUAUUUUGAUGGAAGGAACUGAAAUAAGUAUAUUUUGUGCUAUGGUGCAUAACAUAAAGUUUGUUUUCUAUUCCUUUAAUAUUUCUCCUUAAUCAUGCAAGUCUGACAAAAUUAACAAUGACAGUAAACUUUGAAAAACAGAGUCUUCUGGUGUUAUAAACGAGGGAACGAUCUGAGAGGGUUAACAUGAGAGAGAAUACAUGAAACUAAAACUAAAAAAGGAAACUGUUUGAUAUUGUUUUUUAAUUUUUAUCUUAGGAAUCAUUCCAGACACAUUUUCUCCCCUCUUUCACUUUUAUCUUCUCUUUUAUCACCAUCCUCUCAUUUUUCCGUCUCUAUCUUUAAUUAAAAAUAGAAAUCACAUUCCAAAAACAAAAAUGUUACCAACAUGACCUAAACAAUUAUGUUCUCUAUGAUGAGUCACUAAUCACUCAUGCAAGAUCACUUGUCCACAGAGUUGGGUCUGCCUUUCACAACCUGGGGCAGUUCUAUAUUGUGCAACGGAAGCUGGAAGAAGCUCGCGUUUGCUAUGAGGUAAUAACUUUAAAAUCUUUUAUCUCCAGUACAUGUUUUGUUGUUAUGACUAUUGGUUCACCAACAGUGUCUAUGUGGUCUUUUCUAUCCUUUUAUGUUUUGUUAAUGUAGUAUGUGAUUGCUUUGAGGGUCAUGCUCGUGAUCUAGGGAUAUGGAGAUUUUUGUAUGUUUUGGCAGGUUUAUCCAGAAUUAUUCUGACUGGUAUGUUUUUUUUUGGUGCACCUAGUAUAUAUGCAUUUGAUUAUAUUUCUGUGUAAUAAAAGUUCGAGUUAUUUGAUUUGCCUCCUGCAUCUCCUCCCAACAUACCAUCAGUAUCAUAUCUUAAGCAAGGCAUGGAUAAUGUUUGCCUUGAUUUGAUAAAUUUUUCCUAUUUAUAACUGCUGAUCUUUUGCUGGUUUUCACAUUUCUGCCCGAUUGAUGAUACAUUUGGACAGCGUGCUUUGAAGGUAUUAGCCUGGGCUGUUUUUACAUACAUGUAGUAGUGUGAGUGUUUAUGCUGCUAACUCAUUGUUGUAAUCACCUUUUUCAGAUCAAGGCCCGUGUUCUGGGUCUUAAUCAUACAGAUUAUGCAGAUACUAUGUAUCAUCUUGGAACGGUAGUUUUUUGAAUCCUUGCAUGAUAAUACUGUUUGUACUACAUUCUUGUUUCUGUUAAUCUGUGUUAAGUUUAUUGUGCUUCGAAGAUAUUCUCUUGACGUAGACAUAGAUUUUAAUAGAGAAGAGAGAAAAGAGAAGAAUAGGUAAGAGACAGAAAAGGGAUGGAAGAAAGAGAAGUAUAGAGCGUGUCAGACAACCGACCAGAUCUGACUAUGUUAUGGUUUAACUUUUAAGGUCAUAUAUGUCUGCAGCACACAUUUGUUUCAUUUUACAUGUCGUAAAUUUAUAAAAGAUAUAUCAGUGUAUAUCUCGGUAAUGUUCACUAGUGUAUUCUAGCCCUCCACACCCCACCACACCCCCCCCCCCCCAAACCAAAAACUUUAGUUUCUUACAUAUCUCGGUAACCUAUUUAAUUAGGUGUAGUUUUGACUGCAGGUGCUACAACUCCAAGGAAAAGGAAAGGAUUCGGAGGCCCUUAUUCAGGAUUCUAUUAGAAUACUCGAGGUCAAGAACCACUAGAGUACUUUGUUCACUGUUUGAGCUUUAAUAUUCUUACUCCCAAUUGUUGUUUGACUAUAUAGGAUGGUGGCCAAGGGGAGUCAAUAAUGUGUGUCAAGAGAAUGCGAUAUCUUGCUCAGGUUGUGUUUUCUUCCAGGUUGCCAGUGUCACUCUUGUUUCAAAUGUAAUUAUAUAUGAGGAUUGGGUGUAUAUGUCACGUGAAAGCUUGAAUUGUGAGAGGAAGUCCUGUUUCUUAGAGGGUUGAACUAAAUUAGUUUUAUAACAAGUUAGUCCAUCGCCAUUUUGGAAAUUCUUGGAUAUAACUGAACUCGUUUCCCUAUGUAAAAGAUUCAAUUUUUAAAGGCUUGAAAUCAUUUGCAAAUGAGGGUGCCUUCUGCUGUAGAGAACAUUACCUUGAUAAAUAUCUCUUUUCUAUGUUUCAAACUCAAUGCUUUGGUCUUAGGCUUCCAAGAUUAAGUUCUUUCUCGUGAAACGCCUUGCUCGUUUAUGAUACCGGAUUUUGAUGGAAUAUUUAGCAUUUUUCUAACAACUGUCCUAAAAAUCAUGUAAUGAUUUGGUCCUUUAUUAUAUCAUUAUAUGACACUUCAUAGAAUCUUGAAGCCUUAUAUAAGUGUGCUUAGAAGAAAAAGAAAGCUUGAUUGUGCUUGAUUGUAAAUUAUUUUACAAAAUCUUCAUCAAAAAAAUUAUUUUACAAAAAACCUUACAACAUAUUUUGAUGUACCUUUUGUGGAUUUGUCUUCAUAGGACUCAGAUUUUAAUAUUUGUACCUUUGUAUAGGUUUGUAUUGGACUUCUUCAUCUUGCAAUUAAGUGUCUCUCUCUCUCUCUCUCUCUCUAGAUAUAUAUGAAAUCCAACCGUCUUGAGGAGGCUGAGAAGGUACAAAGAAAGAUUCUGCAUAUAAUGGAAUUGACAAAGGUUUGAUAUUUGAUUUUUAUCUUUAUCUUUUUCAUUCUAUUUAUGCAAAAGUUGGUUUAUUCCAAACAGAUUCUUACAUACCAUUUGGUGCAUGCUUAAAUAUAUGCAUUUAGACAGCUAGAUGUAUGCAUAUCUUUUUGAGUAAAUUACACUUCACACCCCUGAACUAUAGGGAUCAUUUCAUUUUUUACCCAAGUAUCAAAACAUUGCAAUGUAAACCCUUAAGUUUGUGUUGUGAUACAAGUUCAGCCUACCGACUGUUAAAUUUGAUGAAUUUUGCCUACAUGGCAUAUGUAGGCCCCCCUUUUUGAUGAUGAAUGAGGCCAAAAAAUACAUAAAAACCGAACAAGAUGACUGAAUAUGCUAAUGGUAGAAAUUGGCCACUUAUCUGAUUACAUUUGUUAAAAUGGGAGUUGACUUUGGUGACGACGUCCUAGAAUUGUUAAAUGUCUUACAGCAUGAGGCUUUAGGCUGUUUGAAAAUCCUAAGCUCUCGUCAGUCAUCAGUGUAUGGGAAGCAUGUGUUGAAUACUUUAGCACUUUCAUGAGUCAUGUUUUUCCUUAUCUUAUAGCUUCACUGUCUGUCUUCUUCUAUUUUCUUUUUUUGUCGGUAUUUUUAGUUGGUUUUUCAAGGUGAGGUCGUUGAUGUUCACAUGUGCUGGUGAGGAAUAAGUGCCUUGCAGGAAGUUAUAAAUUUGGGUUGUGCGUCAUGUUUGGCUAUGUGGAGGAAAGAAAUUUAUUUGCUAAAGUUGUUUACUCUGUUUGCAAGGUAGGGAUGGAAUUCAUUGGACACAGUAAUAACAGCUGAAGGGCUCGCGUUGAUCCUACAAUCAGCUGGGAGCUUAAAAGAAGCUGAAGAGCUUCUUGAAAGGUAAAGAGCAUUGUAAUUGAAAAUCAGAAUGAAGUGAUAUUCCAUUACUUGUUUGAGAAUUUUGUUGACUAAUUUCCUUGCAGGUGUCUUGAUGCUCGGAAAACCUUACUUCCUGAAGAUCAUAUUCAGGUUAAUUGCUUUCGCAUUCAGCUCAUAAAAAUAUCCCCUAUGCUGUGACAGAUAUAUUUUGAUUGCUUAUGAUUCUUAGGAGAAUUCAUUAUACUUCGUCUUAUUUCAUUAUGAAUACAUAGAAACAUUUUUAUUUUGUAUUAUGACAAAUAAAUUUUUUUUUGGCGUAAAUCAUGACUCUGUACAAUACAAGAUACUUUGACCUGGCUUCUCUUUUGCAACAAUUAACUGCAUCCAUACCUCAAGAUUUCUUAUUAUGCCCUAUAAUAGUUAAAGUUUCAUGUUAGACUGACUUUUCAGUUGAAAAAGUAAUGAAAAAGAUUUUUAAUACUUGGGGCCUUGGGUAUAUAGCAAAUUUAAGUAUUUAAACCUCUACAUAUUUAUGUAUUUACACAAGUUCGUGUCAUGUUUGGAUAGAAGGAAGAGGGUUGCAAUGACAGACAAUGCAGAACAUUGUUGCAAGCAGUAGCAUAAAUGAGAAUGACUCAUAUAGUUGACCAGUUUCUUGGGAUAACCUUUAGUGGAUUUGAUUAAAUUUCUGUGUUUAUCGAAAUGUGAGCUGUCAUUCUGUCAAAUUUUUUGGGUUCUUUUUACCCAUAAUUCCAUUAAAGGAAAAUAUAGCAUACACUUUGCAACAGGCCUGAUUUUCUGUGUCAAUGGACAGAUUGGUGCGAACAUGCUUCACAUGGCUAGAGUGGCAAUACUCAAUUCCAACCAACUAAAGAAGGUGGACACUUCUAAAGCAAUUUGUGAGCUUGAGAAGGCCAGAGAUAUUUUAAACGAGUCCAUAAGGUUUGUUGUAUUUUCUCAUAAAUUUUAAGGAAAAGAGUUUGUAACCAUUCAAAUGGAAUUGAAAAUCAUGUGCUAAUCAAUAUAAUUGGAGUCCUCUGUAAUUUACCCUUCAAAACAAAACCUAUCAUUUUUUUUUCUUUCACUAGAAUCUCUGAUUACACUAAAUUGUUUAUUUUCGUUUUAUCCUGAAUUUCUAUGCGACUUGCGAAUCUUCUCUUUGUUAUACUAGAGAGAAUCUAAUACUUUUUUGCAGUGAUGAUGUUUCCAAUUUACAUACUGGUUUCAGAUUUGAAUUUCUGUUUUAAUGCAUGCAAACAUUCCCACCUCAUACGAAACUGCGAGUUUAUCGAAGAAUAAAUAACAUGUGUGAGUGGGACUCAAAUUGAACUGUUUAGUCAUCAUAUCUUACUAGGUUCUGUAGCAUUAGGCCGUUAAUAGGCUCAUCAAGAGGUCAAUUUUAAUAGGAUAUUAUUAAUACCUAUUUAGUUUUGCCUUUGGCUGAGGAGAGAAUGUUAGCUUGUGAGAUGUAUGAUGAUGUUAAUUGGUACUUGGCAUGUAGAGUAUAUUAUAACUUAUGUACUUUAUACUUUGUAUGUUUCACUCUUUCAUUCAGUCAAUAUUGUAUCACAAAGUAGUUAUUGUAUGUUUCUAUGCAUGAAGUGUUUUCAAAAUAUUGAAAAUAUCACUAGGCUAAACUUUGCUAUUCCCAUUUUAUAAGAAUUCAUCUGUGUAAAUGCUUACAGCUUUAUUUUAUGUAAUAGGAUAGCACGGUCUUCUUUAGAUAAAUCAAUGAGGCAAAAUAGAAAGAUACAUAGUUAUGGAGCAUCAGGUGACAUUGGAAAGAAUUUUCGUGUGGCAUUGGUCAUACUGGUCAGUUUUCUUCAUCGCAAACAAUGUAUUCCUCAUUGAAUGUGGAUUUUUCAGUAUAAUUUACCCUCUCUCUCUCUCUUCACACGUGUUUUUCGUAAUUUUAUGCAUGGAUUUCUGAAUGCAUAUCUCUGGUUCUGUUCUGUUAAAUUAAGUCAAAUGCAUUGCUUGUAUAAAUUUGUAAUUUGUAUCUCUUAUUUCUUUUACAUUAUUCACUGCUGGUGUUACCAGAUUUGAGAAUCUAAACUAAAAUGAUGAUUGGAAUUCAUGAAGUAUGAUCAUAUUGUAAUUUCCUAGAAAAGAAGUAUUCAAGAAAUAAUGCAGUAGGAAAUUUAGAUAUUGUCCUUUCUACACUUUAUCAUUGGAGAGGGUUAGAUUAUAAAAUAAUUACUAUACCAAUAAUAAAGUAGGAGGAUCAGAAAUUAGGUAGAGUCCAAGUGAGGUGAGAGGAGUUAUUAAAUAAAGCAAGAAACGGAUAAUAAAAAGUGUUUUUCAGAAAUUACCCCAACUGCAUUACACUCUUUAAAUAAAAAGCUAUCAAACAUACUUUUUGCUUAAGUUCUAAAAAUUUAAAAACAAAUUAAAAGCUGAAAAAACAAAUUACUUAUUGCCAAACGGGCAUAAUUCUCUACUUCAAAUUUAAAGAAAAACACAAAGUGUUAUAAUUCUCCGACCAAUAAAAAAGUGUUAUAAUUCAAUUAAAGAGUACUCUUUAGCUGUGCUUAAGGAGACUUUGUUCAUUGCACAUCAGCAACAUGGAUAAUAAGUGUUCGUUACGAAAAAUGAUUUCACUACCAUAUGCUUAUAUUUGGUUAUUGUAUUAAUGUUAGGUGCUUCUGAGUGGAUUUUAUGUAUAAGAGUGCAGUUAUAUUUUGUUAUUAUGUUAAUGUUAGCACAUAUUUUGUUAUAGACAUUUUCCACUUUGGGUUUCAUGGAUAUAUGUACUUACAGUUGCAAGCGUUUGAUGCUCUUGGCCUUUUAGCGAUCACUAAGCAAGAGUUACAGGAGUCAAAGGUUAGUAUCCAGAACUCUAAUGGUCAUGAAGAACUACUGUGUGCUCAUCACAAAUUUGAAGAUGAUAUGGUCAUAAAUUGGCUGGUUAUGGUACAAAUGAGUUGUAGAAAGUAAUUGGCCAUUAACCAUAAGCAGCUGAUUUAAAGUAAUGGCCCCAACCAUAAGCAGCUGAUUUAUGAAUACAUUUUCAAAUUACAUUUUCCAUCAAGAUUCAAAUUGGAUGCUUUCAUGUAACUUCUUUUUGAGUACUUGUUGAGGCCUGACUGAGCAGCCAAUUUAUAAUGACCUCAAAUAACCUCUUCAGAUUACAGUUUCUGUUUCUGUUAGGCAUUAGCUUUCGCAUACAGUAUUAAUCAUCUAAAGAUUUAAUAAUGACCCUAAUACUUAUUUUCUACAGCUCAUUAGUACAGUAAAGAAAAACUGUGAUUUGCACUUACUUUUCAUCUUAUAUUCUGCCAAUUCAAAUUUGCUGACCUAUUACUUUGAUUGCAUAACUUAGCAGGAUGAGUGUUUACCUAACUCCGAAGCUGAGAGUGCACUAUUAAGAUGCAUUUCUACUUACAAAGAGGUACCCUUUUCCGAGAGUAUUUGAUGUUCUUUUUUCCAGCUCUGAAACAAUAUUGGUAUUAUAACUGCUCAUAGGCGCUUUUGCAAGAAGCCUUGUUAUUAGAAGCACAUUGAAAUUUUAUUAAAAAUCCAAAAGAAGCACUUGAUUCUCCAGAAAGCAUUUUUAUGACCCAUAAACAUUUUUAGUUUUAUGUCAAACGCUAUCAGAAGCGCUUUUAGCUAUUCCAAAAGCAGGUUCAAACAAACCAUGUUAGUAACGCAAGAAAGUGUAAAGUAAUAGGGUACUAACUAAUGGAAAAUACUGUGGGAAGUCAGUGGUACACUUCGUGUAGUUUGCCUUUUAAAAUUGUGCCCUAUUUCUUCACAUUUUUAAUGCAAGACUAUUGUGACAUCGUUUCACCAUAAACAUCUUAGCCUUAAAUUUUUCAAAGUUUGAUAUGCCUUACAAUUGUGUUUGCUUAGUUAUUUAUGUGUUUAUCUAUUUGUAGUUUGUAACUGAGAUGUCAAUUGCGGAGUUUCCUGAAGUAAAGGCAGAGUAUCUUAAAUGUUUGAAGCAUCUUUUGAGCUUAAAUGGUAAUAGCACUACCCAAACAUCACAGCGAUCUACCAGAGUCAAUUUGCAAGAUUUGAGAGAUGAAAUCAAGCGUCUGGAACUUCAACUCUCUCCUUCUAGGAAUCGUAAAAUCUAAGCCGCCAGGCUGCCGAUUCUUGUCGCAGCAGCGGUUACAGCCCCACGUGAAUGAAGAAAAUCCCCUUUGUAGUUAAGCCAAUUAGCACCAGCUAUAACUCUCAAUCAAUGUUGGUAUAAAUUCCAGUUUCCGUGUAUUUUAGUAUUGGCUUUACUUUUGGUUUAAGUUUGAUUUAUUUCUAAUUUAUUUUCAGCAAUACUAAUUCUGAUGCAAAACCUAUAUACCAUUACCGUUGCACCUACUUUUGCUCAAAUUCGAAAUUUUUUGGAAGUUAUGUUUAAUGUUCAUGUACUUACAACUCGACCGGGUGAUUAAUACUAAACUUUAGGGUUAUUCAAAAUUAAUGUUAGGAAGAUAUGUUAAAGAUGUAGCGAUAUUUUGAAUCCAAGGAUUAAACUCUUCUUAAACCAAUUACGUCUCAUUUUCCUGUGAUAUAUAAGUUUUUCUCAAUUGCACUUUAUUGUCCCCAUCACAGGUGCUACGAAGACUUGUGUAUGACAGGUGGCGGUUUUCUAGCGUUGAUGGGACUUUAUUUUUGGGACUUUGGAACCACUUUGUUGGUGUUUUGCUCCAUUUUGUUUUUUUGUUAAACCAACUGCUUUUCAAUUCGGAAUGUUUCUGUUUGUCCUAUUUCCUAACUUAGCACAAUUCACUCUUUAAUAAUAUGUACUCCAAGUUUUGGAAUUUGGUGGGACUUUGGAAUCAUUUGGCCUGUGUGUUGCUUCAACUUUUGCAUUUUAGGCAAACCAAGUGUUUGUUUGUUUGUUUGUUUUUCUUAUUUAUCAAAGUUAUGAUGGGAGAGUGGGGAAAUUCAUACACACAUGAGUGCUUGAACUCAGAACCACUUGGGAGCACAUCAAGGUCUGGGUCAAUCCAACUAACAUCUCAUUGGUGCAAACCAAGUACUAAUAAAUGGUUUGGAUCGUUGAAAAAAAAAAUCGUAGGGGACCCCAAAAAGUGUCCCUUAAAUAAAAUUAUUUGAAGGAUCCUUCAAUAGAAGGGUACUAUAAAUAUAUAGGGAUCCUUCAAAUAAUUUUAUUUGAGGGACACUCUUUGGGGUCCCUUAUGAUUUUUUUUUUUUCAAUAAUCCAAACCAUCUGUUUUUAAGUCUACAUUCAUAAAUCAUCCUUGCAAAAAAUUAGACAAAUCGGAAACCGUUUCGACAUCUAAUUAUGUCCUAAAAAAUCAAUAAACACGAUGCUUCAAGAAAGUACUAAAAUUUUAAUAACUCAAUUGAGUAGUCAAAUGAUAUCGGAUUCAAGUAAUUUUUUAUAGAAAUCUUUGAAUGAUUAUCUAAAAAAUAGACGGUUUGAAUUAGUGAAAUACAAUACGGAGUGAGCCCUACAAGGGUGUCCCUCAAAUAAGAUUUGAGAGAUCCCUCAGUAGAAUCUAUAUAUAUAUAUAUAUAUAUAUAUAUGUGUGUGUGUGUGUGUUUUUUUUUUUCCAUUCUGUUAUUGUUUAGGAUAUCAAAUGUUUAAUUGGUCAUUUAGAGGACGUUGAACAAAAGCAUAUUUAAAGAGAGUCGAUUUAUUGGCAUACAUAGUAUAGUAUUAAUAAUACACAUGUCAUAAUAUAAGUGAAUUGUGAAACCAUGUAAAGGUGUGACUAUUACACUAACAAGAAUUAUUCGUGUUGUAAUCUCUAGGUUUAUUUUUUGUUUCCAAAAUGAAAAUGAGACAUUGGAAACUUCGUGCACAAUACUACACGUUGCUGCAGCUUCAACCAUGACAAUUGAGUGGUAAUCAUGAGCAUAUAGUAACGGAGAAGAUUAAUUAUUAUCCAAUGCCAAGCAAUGGCGUGCCGUAAUUGCACCUAGUUUAUUGGAUAUAUGUAGCGAUCAGUUAAUGGGAUUCAAAUUUCAUUUCCAUCCAAGAUAAAAUAGCAUUAUUUGGACAUUUAGAAAAAAAUUAUUAACAUUUCCGGCUGACAAGUAAUAACAAUACAAUGACUGUAACAAGGUCGAUUUUUAAAAAGAGAAACUUUCAUGUCACGGUCUAAAUCAUUGUGCGUGUCUAUUUCUUAACCUCAGCACAAAUGAGAAGGAGACAGACGCAAAAGUAAUUGUCUUGUAAGAAAAGAGACAUACACAAAGUUGCAAACACCCUUGGAAGUUAUUUUAGGACCCCAACUUUCCACCCACCAUAAAGCUUUCUGGACUUCUAGGAACCCCAAUGCCCAUUUCCAUUGAAUGAUCGUAUUCAAUUCUGACAAUGCUAGCUGCAGGACCAAACUGCACCCAAAGAUGCAAACAGUCGCAUGAGAUUUCGUACCCUUUACUUUGGAAAAAUAUAAAGACAACUAUACAAAAGAUUAAAACGACAAAAACCAAAUUUGCUAUCGAUGUAGCGUGGAACUUUCUUUUCCCACAUAUUUCCAAAAACCCCCCUAUGUGUCCAUUCAUUUUCCAAGCUAUUAACUUACACCCCUUAUCCCCUAUUAUUACUCUAUAAAGUCGUAAACUCAAAACAUUCAUCAUGGAGAGAAGAAAGAGUAGGAGAAGCUGCAAUGAUGAAUUGGCAUUAGUAAAGGCAGCUGCAUGGGCAUGGUUUCAACAUGGAUCCGGGACCGACGGCAAACCAGUUAUGCCGGAAUUUGAUGUCAGAAGGACUUGUCAUGCUCCUUAUAAACCAUCCAGGUACAAGCUAGAAGCUAUGUUGAUUUCUAAUAUUAAUAAACAAGGCAUGGAAUUUGAAGGGUUGAAAUCACUAAGUGUUGUUGAGAGUAUCUCUGAUCAUUCGCUUCUUGAUACAUAUGAAAUUGAGAGUAUUUCCCGGAAAUUGGAUCAACUUAUAGAGUCUAGUGGUGAAGGCAAACUGUCUAAGGGGUUCCUAGCUGGAGAUGUUCUUGGUAGAAACAAGGCCAAACCGGGAGGCAGAGGCUCAAACUCUGACCUUGAGUGCGGAGAUAAAUGUUCGCUACCACUCAAGUUACAAGCUUCUAAUCUUGUUGAAGAUAAUCGUCGACAAGGAAGAAGUGAGUCACUAAUGGAUGGUAAAACAAAUGGGAGGAAGAACAAGAACAAGAACUUUACAGGGUUUUGGAAUAGGCAUGCAGCAAUAUGUGGCAGAAGUGAUGAUGUUCUAAACACAAAAGCUUUCGUGGUUAGUCGUCGCCGGCCGCGGGAAAAGGGUGUAUAGUAUUAUUAGUACCGGUGGUUAAGGUGGCCAACUGUCGGCCACGGGCCACGCAGGCCUCGUGAUCAAUUGGAACAUUAAGUUUUUUCUUUGCUUUGGUCGUUGGCUGUGUAAUACUUUGUCUACAGUUAGCUCAACUGUCCUUGAAUGCUUCACUUAGUUUUACUAGUUGUCAAGUUUCAACAUAUAAAAUACAAACGCAACCGAUAUCCAAUUUUUUGAAGUAUUUGUCCCUAGUAGAUGAGGUUUCCAAAGUGUUUAUGAUCGCUGCAAUUUUGUAUUUGAGGAUCCCUAAAUUAAAGAUAUAUAUAUUUCUAAUUUGAGGGACAUCCUUAUAGGGCUCACUUUCAUAUAUAUAUAUAUAUAUAUAUAUAAACAUUCAAAUAAGAGAAUAAUUAUAUAUAUAGCUAGCUACGAGUCUUUGAGGAGGCGUGAAGAAAUUGUAGGAGCUUUUUUUGUUCCAGCAACUACAGAUGAAUGGGCAUCGGCUGUUGUAAAGAGCAAAUAGGUGGAUUUGCCCCUAUGUCUAAGUUCAAGAAUCAAGCCUCAAGAGUGCUUCGAAAGGUUCAUGGAGCCUUAAGAAACACUUUGGCUUUCUUCACCAACAAAACCAACAGUUGCUUACAGAUAAAGAUUUAGGCUUGGCUUGAGAGACUUGUGGCAUGAGAGCUGAACAUUUAUGAGUUUAGCAUAAAAGAGAGAAGGCUUGGAUUUUCUAUAAGAAACAGAGAUUCAAGGUAAAGGGAGAGGGAGUUUUGUGAGGAUUUGUUGAGGGAAGAGAGGGAAAGAUGAAGGUGGAAGAAUGGGUGGCUUUAGCAGAUUUCCAGCAGCUUGACGAAAGCUUCGUCAGACUCUUGGAUGGCUUGUCAGAAGAGAAAAAGGGGGGAAAAUGGAAGAAUAUAGCUUGAAAUCGAAGGAUUCCAAAGGUGAAAGGUGAUGCUUGCUCUCUCUAAUGUGUUUAUGGGAAAGAGAGGAAGAAGAUGGAAGAACACAACUUGAAAUUGAAGCUUUCAGCAAUGAGUAAGGAUGUUACUCGCUCUGGAUCUCCUGUUUUGCUGGGUAGAAGGUGCCUCCUUUUAUAGGCACUGGAAGCUCCUAAUUUUAUUAAGUCUUCUUGUCCAUUUUUCCUCACUUUUUUCCAUUCAAUCCUCUUUGGUGAAAUCUCCCCAACCCUAGCACAUAGGAGUAGAGCUUUUUGGGGUUCCAAGACUUUCCUGGGGCUGGACUCCUCCAUCUGGGUGAGGCGCCUCUUGCUUUUCCUUUCUUGUUUUCCACCAGAGCUUGCAGAGGAAAUAAUGGGUAAGGGUGCUAGUCAAAAGGUGAUUUAUAAGUGUUGUGGGCUAUGGUUAUUGAAUAUUUUCUAAGAUGUUUGAGCCUUUUCUUAAGGUGAUGGGCUAUUGGGUUUUCUCUCUCAUGCUUAACCAUAUGUUUGUGCUUAAAGAAUGAGCUUGAGUUUUAGUGCUCCCAAGCAGCCCAAAACUUCUACUCCUUGGACCAUCAAUGGGCCUUGUGAAUACUCGUAACCAUUCAUACCACAACCCAUUCAGCAAGCCCCAAGCAUUCGCGUGGCUUGGUGCAAAAAUAAGGAUUUUUCGCUUGGCAUGGCGUGUUAUUUGGUGUGCUUGUGCUCUAGUUUUGCUAUUUUGUAAUGGCUAUGGCCGGGCCAAACUGGCGCUUGAUGUGAUAAUGAGCAUGGGUUCAUAGAACUAGUACAUUUUAGGGGCUUGUAACUACCUUUUUGUGUGGCAUGUUGCAUAUUUGCUUGGCGUGGCACGUGUGCAAGCGCAUAUAACGAACUCUUGCAUAAUUAAGUCGGGUUUCUUCCCAAGUUAGGUGUUAUACUGGGUUAGAAAUAUAUUUGGGGCCAACCUUAGAUUUUUUGGGCCUCAACAAAAAUCUACAAAAAUUGUUAUGCCUUGAGGGGUAGUUAAAAAAAUAUCAAAUAUGAUUAUGAUAUGCCAGGCAGGAUCUAGAGUGGACGCCUGCUUUGUAAAAAAAGUGCACACAUCAUAUUCUUGGUCGAUCCAAUAUAAUUCAAUUAUUAAAACUAUUUAUCUAUAACCAAAUUAGACAAAUUGAAAAUCGUUUAGUCAUUGAAAUUUUGCAAACAAAUACACUUCAAAUGACUAGCAUGGUAAGCGGUUAAAUGAUACUCAUUUAGUAGGGAUAUUUCUUGAAAAAAAUGACCUAAAACAAUUAUCUCAAUCAUUACACCUCAAGUUGGAGGAAAAUUUUAACUAGUUUAUUAAAAUGUGGACGUACACUCUUGAACUUUGUUGGUGAUUCAUAACUUAUGUGUUUAGAAGAAUAGUAAAGAUAUCAUAUUGUUGUAUCACAUUGUGUAUCAUUGAUGGACCCUACUUCUAUUAGAGAGGGAGUCCAUAGGAUCUGUCCAGUAUGACUCAUUUAUUUACGAGAAGGGACAUUAAAGAAAGGGAAAAAAAAAAAGGACAAUUAUGGGCGCAGCAUAUGGGGGGGACUUGGUAUAAAAUCCCUACCCUUCCUUUUCUCCGUUAAUUUUUGUAUUAUUAUUUUACGUGAAGAUCAUGUCAGCAUUAAGACAAUUUGGUUUGUUGGUUGUUUUGCUUUGUAAUCUUCGGACAUUUUAAUGUUUGUGUUGAAUAAUAGUAGAUGAGGGCCUCAGGUCUUUCCAAAUGGGGUGAAACCCUUUUGACAACCUUCCCUCUCCUAGCAAUCACCACCACCGACUCCUAAGAUUUGGCAACAGUCAAUCGCCACUCUCGUACAAAUUUUGAAUACAACUGAUAUUGCAGUGUUUAAUUUUCUGAAAAUGGCCACUCAAGGUCUAGCCGAGGUUGACUUCAUUUGGUCAAUACGUUUUUUUUUAGACUCAGUUUGGCUCGACUCACUGGUUUAAAUGCCCACCCACCCCUACUGAAAUAUAACUGACAUUAACGUUAUGGGAGGAAUUGCGUUGAGCAUUUCUAGUGAUAUCAUUUUCUUAAAAUGGCGUUGGCGGAAGUAGAAAUACGUGGCAAUAGUGCUGCCACUAAUCUAUAGUGGAGUAGAGAAGGAAACGUGGAAUAAGAGGGUGCUUUGACAUUGCCGCCGAACGGGUGGAAAAAUAGGAAUAGUUUGCGACGAUAGCACUACAGAUCUAAAAUACAAGGGCCAUCAAUUGUAUCAUAUCGCUCAAGUUAUAAUGCAGCAAGUUGCAGAGCUGUUGAGAAAUAAAACAAGACCAGAACCAAAUGGGGAGGGAGAUUAUAUUAAAAUUACAUUAUACAAAAACAAAAAUCCCAAUUAAAACCAGCCCUUUGAAACAUGUUAUCCAUAUCAGAUACUUAUUGAAGACAAUGGGCAUAAUCAUGAGGCCAGGAAGCAAUGACCUCA